Molecule: long non-coding RNA, 49599 nt
Filed under: Citrus maxima (pomelo)
Lineage: Eukaryota; Viridiplantae; Streptophyta; Magnoliopsida; Sapindales; Rutaceae
Description: long non-coding RNA (CMAX_LNC002287)
Rfam family: Plant small nucleolar RNA R71 (bases 42545-42651)
Source: RNAcentral
CUUUAUUGAACGAUGGGGUCUCAAAUGGGCUGCCUCUUUGCCACUCUUUUGGUAGUAUCAGUCUCUCUUAGCUACUUGCCGUUAGAAGCCUCCGCAAACAAAUACUACUACACAUCUCCUCCCCCUCCCAAGUACAAGUCUCCACCACCACCCCCGCCACCGGUUCACAAUUCUCCACCACCACCCCCGGUUUACCUGCCCCCGCCACCUCCUCCACCAGUCUACGUGCCUGCUCCGGCACCAACUCCAAUUUUCCCUUCUCCGCCACCUCCUGUCCCCAAGUCCCCACCACCACCUCACCCUUACGUCUAUGCAUCUCCCCCUCCUCCUUACUACUACUAGAAAGCGGCCAUGAAUAGCUCAUGCUUUUAUGGUAAUCUCAUUUAUUUUUAAAACUGUACAUGUAAAGACUAGUAGUUCAGAAUUACAUUAAGCAUUUCAAUUUUAAGCACCGUGUUCUGUUUAAUUGCGUUCCUAUUGAUUAAGUGACAAAUAAAAGAGAUUGAUUAAUUUGUUCUUGUAGGAGAGGCGAAUGGUAUCCGAAUAAAGAAAGCAAGGGUUUGAUGGAAGGCUUACUUGGAGCAAGAUAGCGAUCAAUCGAGUUGCUGCGUUUUAUUCUCUUUUAUCUUUGUUUUUUAAGAAAAAUAAACUGCCACACGUAGAAACAGAAAAUUAAGUUCUUGUCAUUUUCAUGCAUAUGGAUUGUUGCUGUGUGUGUCAAUCAAAUCUCCGUUGUGUCAUUUGUAAUUUUCAACCUUUAUGCAUGCAAAUGCGAGACCUCUUACGUAUAAUAAAAUUAAUAUACUUCCCAAGAUGGUCUUAUCUUGCGUUGACUUUUUACGUUCCUUUGGUGAUGAUUUUGACGUUUGAAAUUGAUGACUAAUUGACUAUUGUUUUUGUAAACUCUGACAUGGAUUUUUCGUGCAACUACAGAGCGCAUUAACGAGAGACUUAUCCAUGAGGGUCCAUGCAGAUCAGUGUCUAAUUAACCAAUAAUUAAUAUAACUAAAAAAAUAUAGAGUUAACUAUUUUUAUGGGUCAGGCUCAAUUGCAGAUGUUCGUACAAAAUUUCUUGCUAAUGUAUACUUGAGUAUGAUAAUAAGUUUUUAAUCAUUAUUAAUAAUUCACUUGAUAAUAUUAAACAAAUUUUCAUAUCAAUUAAGUUACAAAAUUUCUGUGACAAAUUUCCGCGUACUGGAACCAUGCAAAAGGGCUUUAUUCAAACAAAACUGCAUAGCCGUUGGCAAUUAAAAUUAUUUAUCAAUUAAGUUAAGUAGUAAGAAUUGGAUUGUGGAUUCCAUUAAUUAUUUCAAGGAAAAUUUUAUAGAUAAUGCCGUAAUGAAAUUUACGGCAUCAAUACCAUGAUAAAUAUAAAUAUUGUAAAUUACAAAUAGAAUUAGUAAAUGUAAAGUAAAACCAGUAAAUUCAUAAAAGAUUAUUAAUUAUUUAAAAAAUUAACAUUGUUUCUACAUAAUUUUAGUGAAAAAUAUUUUAUUCAUUUACAAAAACAUUUCUUUAAUUAAACAAAAAAAUUCAUUAAUUAAGCAAAAAAAUUAUACUGAAAAAAAAGUGGAAUAAGUUUAAUUGAAUUGGUUAUCAUAAAUUCUAUAUUUAGUCUAGGACAUUUUUAUACAUUUUCUUCCCAUUUUCGAUAAUGAUAUCUAUUUGUUACACAUGUUAAUUAAGUGCAAUUAUUUAUCUUGAUGUGGAUCAAGUAAAAAAAUAUCAUAAAUAAGAUAUCAAUAAAAUUAGAUCUAAUUUUGAAUAUUAUGUAUACUUUAUGUAGUUUCAAACUUUUUACUUGUAUUUGGAGACCAUUUAAGGUUGUUGUUGAAGAAGUGUAGAAAGAUGUAAAAUAACUUCAUCUUACAACAACUAUGAAAGAUAUUAAAAUAAUAAUUUUUUCAAAAUCCGAUUUUGAGAAAAAAAUUCAUCCUUAAUUAAACAUCACAUGUAUUAUAGAAAUGCAAAACUACCAUUGUUAUAUUUAACUUAAAAAAUAAUAAAUAUAUAAGGUAAUAAACAUUAUAAAGAGUUUUUAUUUUAAAAUUGUAAACUUUUGUUUCUGACAAUAACUCUUAUAUUAAUUUAUUUAUUUUGCCUUUUAUUCAUAAGUUUUAUGCAUAAUUUACAAACUUUAAGUUUUAUUUUGCAUUUUAUGUUGAUUUGGUUUUUUUAUAUUAUACGUACAAGUUUUCUUUUUAUUUACCAGUAAUACAUCAAUUUAUCAGCUUGAUAGUAAUUUACUUAUUUUACCUUCCUUUUACAAUUCUUAUGUUUCAUUUCCAAAAUUUAUGUUUUAUUUUACAGUUGUUGAUGAUUUACUAGUUUUAUGUUAUGUUUGCAAGUUUUUGUUUUGUUUACUAGUAAUAGAUUAAUGGGUAAUUUUUAAUUGAGUCCUCAUUAGUUCUAGAAAAACAAUUCAGAGACCAGAAGUUUACUAAAUGAAUCAAUUAAAUUCUUUCAAGUACAAACUAAUGUCAUUCAAGUCCUUAACUUAAUUGGUCAGUUAAAAAUAUUAACAACGUUGAGGACAUUUUAGUAAAACAACAAUUGAGUCGUUUCUCAUUCUUUAUUUUUGACAGGUGGAAAUAGUUUAAAGUAAACUCACUUAACCUGAUUAAGUUAAGGAUCAGUUCUUUCAAAUGAAAAAAAAAAAAAAAAACCUACAGAAACUGCCAUAUUCUUCGUGUGGGAGGAGAGAUCGAGAGAACGUGGGAUGGUGCAAAAAAUGUUGUAUAAAUCUACUGUGAUUUUGACCAAAGCUUUGGUAGCAUUGAUUGAGUUCAAGUACUGGAGAGAACCUGAGUUUAAAGGUUAGUAACUCUAUUUUUUUAGUGAUUUUUGCAAGCAUUUUCUGAUAAAAAAUUUUCCGUAUUGAGUGAUCGUUGUGAAAAAUUAAGUUUUUCAAGUCUAUUUUACAAAAUGACAAACUAUGUUUAAUUAUUGGUGGAUUCUUUUUUUUGUUCAAUGUUGUAUUUUGUUAAUUUGUUGUUUUUAAUUUGCUCUUAAUGUAAUUGUUAGACCAAAUACACCAUUAUUAUACCUAUAUUCAUUUCAACAAUUUGGUAUCGUUAUAUUAAUAAGAUUGAAUUCAUUGUAUUUGCUUCUUUGUUCAUGUAAAAUUGAAUUCUAUGUAUUCUUAUGAGUGAUAAUUUUUCUAUCUAUUAGACUAAAUUCACUAUAUUCACUACUUUCUUUCUUUUUGCUGGGCUAUUUUUUCUUUUUAGUUUAUAUUUUUAUAUGUAUUAGAUUGAAUUUGCUUUUGUACGUUUUUUUAGCCGAAUUACAUGUAUAUUUCAUUUAGGUUGAGUUUUUUUUGUUGUUUGCUAAAUAAAAUUAUAUUGGUUUAUCCCCUUUUUAUGCAAUACUUUUUGUUUAAAAUUAAUACAGUUAGCCAUGUUACCUUUUUUUUCAGUUAAAAUUAAUGGGGUGAUGUAGGCGAUAGGAUAUAGGGAACCAGAGGAAUAUAAGAUUAUUAGGCUGUUUCUUGAAAUUCAAGAUGUCAUGGUUAAGCAUGGACACAGUGAAAUGGAUUUGAUUGAAAUUUUUGUUGUAUUGCCAUGGACUACAAGUGGCCAGAGGAAGCUAAUUUCAAACGAUAGUGAAUUGUAUUGGGUUUUCGAGGAGUUUUUUUUAAUCAAUAGUUGUCCUGUCAUUGAGUUUGAGGUGCACACUGGGUCAGGUGGUCAGUCAUUUCAUGAAAGUGUUGUAAUAGGACCUGAAAAUCCUGUCAAUAUUAAAAAUUAGUGUUGUAAUAGUGAUAAGUUUGAAAAUGUUGUGGCUAAAAAGGUCUGCCUAGAAUAAUUGGUACUUCUUUAUUUGCCUCAAAGUCCAACACUAUGAAAUCCACAAGGAAAAAGAAUUUAUCCACUUUAACCAGCACGUCUUCAAUCUUGCCUUCAGGAUAAGCAUGAGAUCUGGCAGCACAUUGCAAUGUCACUGUGGUUGGUUUGACUUCUCCAACUCCCAAUUGCUUGAAUUCUGAUAAUGUCAUAAGAUUGAUGCUUGCUCCCAAACCACAAAGUGUCUUGCCACUGUAUUUAGUCCCUAUGGAACAAUGAAUUGUGAAACUUCCUGGAUCCUUCAACUUCUGAGGCAUUUUACUCUGAAGCAUAUGGCUGCAUUCUUGUGUUAGACCAACUAUUUCAAAUUCUCCGAGCCUCAUUUUCCUUGCCAAUAUACAUUUCCAAAAACUUUACAUAAUUUGGCAUUUGUUCUAAUGCUUCCACAAAAGAAAUGUUGAUAUGCAGUUCUUUCCAUACUUCCAAGAAUUUACUGAACUGCAUGUCUUGCUUUCGCUUUUGAAAUCUUUGUGGGAAGGGUGGUGGAUGUGUAAAUUGUUGUACUGCAGCAGACUAUACAUAUUGCUUUUCUCUUGCUCUAUUAUGGUAUGUUAUUAUUGGUGUUGCAGCUUCUUCCUCAACAAGCAUUGAAUCAUGUUUUUUUGCAGUUGCUAUAACUUAGCAACUCUCACCAGUGUGCUGGAAAAUGGGUUGUUGUGUCUCUUCUUUAAUUUGAGUUUCCCCUUGGGUUGAAUUAGGUUCCACUCUUCUUUUUGGUACUUUAACAAGUAUAUGAACAUCCUUUCCAAACCUUAAGUUAAUCCCCUUACAAUGCUCUUUUCCUUCUCUCUUUCGAUCCUCUGUAUUGUUUAGUAAAUUGUCCUGAGGUAUGUUGCUCAAUUUUGUAGCAAGCUGUCCAAUCUUAUUCUCCAAGUUUCUUAAAAAUACAGCUUGGCUUUAGACCACUACUUCAAUCUUUACAAUAUACUCCUUAAUCAGAGUUUCAAUGGAACUAAAUUGAUCAUUACUGGUGUUUCUUUACCCUUCAAAUUUCUGGUGAAAAUCAGGUGGCUGAGCAAGUCUGUUCUGUCCACUGGAUGCUGCAGCAUGCUGAUUCUGAUUGCUCCUUUUAAAAUUUGGGUGAUGUCUCCAUCCUAGGUUAUAGGUGUUUGAAAAUGGAUUGCUUUGAUUUUGUUUAUUAAAAUUGCCCACAUAAUUGACGGAAGCUGAAUUCCUAGGACAAUUAUGAUAUAGAUGUCCCUCUCCAUAAUAAACACAAGAGACUUCAGCAAUUUGGUUAACUGUUGCCGGAGCAGUGGCCGUUGCUUUUACCAUAUUUGUCAAUGAGGUUACUUAGGCUGAUAAUGUUGUCAGUGCAUCCACAUUGUGUACUCCUGCUGCUCCUCUCACUGUGGCUUGUCUAGUUGAUGGCCAUUGAUAGUUAUCCUUUCUAAAAUUUCAUAAGCCUCAUUAUAUGAGUUAGACAAUAAAGCCCCUAGUUAUUGAGUUCAACCCAUUGUAGAAAGUUUCCAAUUGUAUGCAAUAAGGAAUACCAUGAUGAGGGCAUCUCCUGAGUAACCCCUUGAAUCUUUCUCAUGCAUCAUACAAGCUUUCAUCUUCAAGUUGAUGGAAAGAUGUGAUCUCAUUCUUCAACUUUGCAUUCUUUGUUGGUGGGAAAUAUUUCAUCAAAAGUUUGUCAGCCAAAUAAUUCCAUGUGGUGAUGGAGUCUGGUUGCAAAGAACUCCACUGUACCAACUAAAAUUGAUUUCACAAAACACAAUAAGCACCAAUCCCCGGCAACGGCGCAAAAAACUUGUUGUCGAUUUUCUAAUGCUAUUAGUGUCAAUGUGAAAAUGUACACAACAAGUAAUAUAACGAUAAGUAUUCACUCCACAAGGAUUAUUAUUAUAGGAAUUGCUACAGUAAUUCUAUCAGUGCCAUUCUUAUUAUAAAUUAGAAUUUAAACAAAUUAUUCAACUAAUGAACUAAGGCAGAUCUUAUUGGGCUAGUCGGCAAUGUGUUGCUUUAGGUCGUGUGGAAUAGUUGCGGGAGUGAUCUUGCAUGAUGUGUGGAGCUAUAACAGUGCUGAGCAUGGGCCAAUCUAUGGGCUCAUGGAACUAGCGAACCUAAUCUAGAAUUUCGAGGAAGAGUACUCUGGUUAGUACUCUAAAUUACCUUAUUAUAUUUUGCACAAACAGAGGCAUGUUAGUGAAAUAAUAUCUAAGCAACCCAAGAGGGGGGUGAAUUGGGUUUCUAAAAAUUAUGCAAUUCUUAAACAAAACUUAAUGCAAAUCUUAAACGAAUUUAAAGCAAUAAUACAUAAAUCAACCAAGGUAUAAAAAGAUAAGGGAAGAGAGAUUAAAACACAGAGAGUUUUACGUGGUUCGGCCAACCUUGCCUACAUCCACACCCCCAAGCACACCGAGCUUGGGCAUUCCACUAGUCAAGCCUUCAAGGCUUCAAGAACACUUACAAUUGACUUCUUAGGUGUCAAUCAACCUUUACAUCUAGAGAUUAUCCCCAAUCUCUUAACCCAAGUGUAUCCCAAUAUUUACAAUCACUCAAAAUAAAGAUUACAAAUUUAUUUUUCUCUCACACAAUUUUUUAAGAUUACAAAUCAACGCUUAAUGUGUGAAUAAAUGAACAAGAAUGAAUUUGAAGCUCAAUGAAUGUUGUAUUCUCGAUUAUAAGCUCAAUGAUAACGUUGUGAUAAGCUCUUGUUUGAAUUUGAUUGAUCUUAUUUAUAGUUGGAGUUGAAAAAUAGCCAUUGUUGACUUUUUCCCGAAAUUGGAUCGCCGUUAACCGUUAUCGGUUAACCGUUUUGACUGGUCCAAGUGACCGUUGAGCUGAAUUUCAAAUAAACGGUUGAUCUUUUGACACUAUCGGUUUGCUGUUAAUUUCCAUAAACCUGUAAAACAAAUUUAUGCUAUUCGUUCUUGCUAAACGGUUGAAGGUCAGCAUGGAAUGACAUUCUAGAAAUUAUUGGUUGGCCGUUUGAAGUUCACGGUUCACCGUUUACUUCUAGAAUCACAGUUUUAACCAAAUUUCGCAGGGAAUGCUUUUUCGGUUAAAGUUAACGAUUAUCCAUAUUUCAUGAACACAUUUAGAAAAAUCAUACGACUUUUGAGAAAUUGUUUAGUAAUGAAAACUCUAACAUUUUAAUCAAAUACAUUUAAAGUUUGUUAUCAUCAAAAUCAAUAUAAUGAACAUCUACAUGUUAACAGUUAGGCCUUGAUUAUUUUUUAAAUCUUAUAAGAUAUAGAGUGAUAAUAGUAACUCAAUUUUCAUAAAACGUGGAAAGAUCAGUCGCCAAAUUUAUAGAUGCCAUAGAAAAUCUAGAUUUUAGUAAGGAAUAUCAAGUUAUUUAUACAAUGAAAAUUGUUAAAACUCGAUUAAUUGCAAGGAAACACUUUUAGAGAGAUAUGGAGAGAAUAAACUUUGAAGAUAACAAUGAAAUACAUGACACAUUUAAGGAAGAAAAUAUAAUAGUAUUAAUAGAAUCUAUUUUAACCAGUCUUAAGAUAAUUCAAGAUUGAUGCAAAAUAAAUAACAGGACUCUAAACCGUCCAUAAUAAGUCUAUUGAUUAAUAAUAAUAAUAAUAGUGAUGUGAAAUUUUUUAUUCAGAAUGCUCAAUUUAGAUUAUAAUAUCUAUGUGAAAGCAUUGAUGGCAUGUACCUUGGUUAGGAAAAUAGAUUGGACACAUGGAUAUAUAUGUUGGAAGAACAAAUCUAGUUUAUAUCUCAAGAGAGAUAAUAAAUUAUAAAUGCCGGUGCUAUAGUAUAUUCAGAUUUUAUAAAUCUUUAUAAAUUUAAUAAUCAUUUAGAUCUUCAUAAAAUUAUAAUAAAACUUUAAAAAACUUUAAAAAUAUAUGUAGAAGAGAUGGAAGAAGAAAUCAUCCAGUUAUUCAAAAUCAAUUAAACAGAAAUAGAAGGUAAAAUCCUUGAAUUAUAUAAAUUAUACAAUUUCACAGAAAUUUUGCAUAUAUUGCAAAACGGUCCUUGUGGCACUAAUUAUGGGACUAGUGUAGCAUAAAUACUAAUAUUGCUUUUUAUUUUGUAAAUUAAUUGUUGCGUCAUAAUGUUUUUACAUACACAUUUUAUGUUUUAAAAUAUGAAUUUUUUUUUUUUGUAUUUAGGGAUAAUUUUACAAUUUCAUACUUUGUUCAAUUAUAUAUACAGGUCCUUAACGUGUUGGUUGAUGUUGAAUAUUCAAAGAUCCACAAGCUAUCAACGACAACGAAUCAAAUUAAACUAAUUAGUUAAUACAUAAUGACUGGGUUGUUUCCUAUGUUGUUAAUGAUGUAGGACGUUAUUUUAGGAUUUUAGAAUUGUAAUUUUUAGGUCUUCUGAUAUUUUCUUUUUUAAUUAAAGUUAGUGUCUUAGUUUUUUAUUUAUUUAUGUUAUAAUUAUAAUUUACUUUCUCUUUUUAAGUUAACUUAGGAAAAUAUAUUUACUGUAUUAUAAAUAAAGAGAUCUUGUUAUUACUUUAUAACUUCAACUUCAGUUAUUCAAUUAAAAACCCCUCUUUUAUAAUUUCAUUUUGUAUUAUUUAUUAAAAACCCCUCUUUUAAAGUUGUUUGAUUAGAGCAUCAUCCAGCCUUGCUUAACGCAGUAUUAAAAAUCCAUUUGAGUUUAAUCACACUUCGAUUAGAGCGUAACUUAAUUGCAUUGACUUGGUCCAGUACUUGAACGAUAUCUAGUGUUUUGCUUCCGCUAUGCCAAGGAGAAAAUUAAUUUCACCGUGAGAUAAGAGCAUUAAAAGGAAUUCAUAAGAAAUUUAAAUUAAAGCUAUAUAUGUUAAAUAUAUCGCUAGCUACUUGUUUUUGGAGGAAUUAAAACAAUUAAUAAGCUGCGAAGUGAAAAUGAAUAAAUAAAUGAAAUGAGGUUGAAAAUAAGUCUCGCCGCCUGGAUCCAAGGCCAAAACAUUCAUGAUAAGUUAGGUAAUUAAGUACAUGUUUUCAAGCUCUUCAUGAAGAAUAACGUUAUUGAAAUAAAUCACAAAGACUCCCUGCGCAAAUUAUUACAUUGAUUAAAAAAAAAAAGCCAUAUCUUUAACAGGAUCGUGACUCUCGGACUGUUAAUUACUUUAUUCCCUGCUUGGCCAACAGCUGGCCACUAAACAAAAUCAUAAAAAUUUUAAAUUUAGUCAAAUUGGUCCCACUUGAUGACAUCCUUUCCAUACAUAAAAUUGUUUAACGUCAAGGUUAAAUAUGAGAAGUUUGGUAGAGAAGGUAAAAAGGAAGUCUAUAUAAGGAGGGGAACGAGCUUUGUUUAUAGCACAAGUGAAACUCCACUUUAUUGAACGAUGGGGUCUCAAAUGGGCUGCCUCUUUGCCACUCUUUUGGUAGUAUCAGUCUCUCUUAGCUACUUGCCGUUAGAAGCCUCCGCAAACAAAUACUACUACACAUCUCCUCCCCCUCCCAAAUACAAGUCUCCACCACCACCCCCGCCACCGGUUCACAAUUCUCCACCACCACCCCCGGUUUACCUGCCCCCGCCACCUCCUCCACCAGUCUACGUGCCUGCUCCGGCACCAACUCCAAUUUUCCCUUCUCCGCCACCUCCUGUCCCCAAGUCCCCACCACCACCUCACCCUUACAUCUAUGCAUCUCCCCCUCCUCCUUACUACUACUAGAAAGUGGCCAUGAAUAGCUCAUGCUUUUAUGGUAAUCUCAUUUAUUUUUAAAACUGUACAUGUAAAGACUAGUAGUUCAGAAUUACAUUAAGCAUUUCAAUUUUAAGCACCGUGUUCUGUUUAAUUGCGUUCCUAUUGAUUAAGUGACAAAUAAAAGAGAUUGAUUAAUUUGUUCUUGUAGGAGAGGCGAAUGGUUUCCGAAUAAAGAAAGCAAGGGUUUGAUGGAAGGCUUACUUGGAGCAAGAGAGCGAUCAAUCGAGUUGCUGCGUUUUAUUCUCUUUUAUCUUUGUUUUUUAAGAAAAAUAAACUGCCACACGUAGAAACAGAAAAUUAAGUUCUUGUCAUUUUCAUGCAUAUGGAUUGUUGCUGUGUGUGUCAAUCAAAUCUCCGUUGUGUCAUUUGUAAUUUUCAACCUUUAUGCAUGCAAAUGCGAGACCUCUUACGUAUAAUAAAAUUAAUAUACUUCCAAAGAUGGUCUUAUCUUGCGUUGACUUUUUACGUUCCUUUGGUGAUGAUUUUGACGUUUGAAAUUGAUGACUAUUGUUUUUGUAAACUCUGACAUGGAUUUUUCGUGCAACUACAGAGCGCAUUAACGAGAGACUUAUCCAUGAGGGUCCAUGCAGAUCAGUGUCUAAUUAACCAAUAAUUAAUAUAACUUAAAAAAUAUAGAGUUAAUAAUUUUUAUGGGUCAUGCUCAAUUGCAGAUGUUCGUACAAAAUUUCUUGCUAAUGUAUACUUGAGUAUGAUAAUAAGUUUUAAUCAUUAUUAAUAAUUCACUUGAUAAUAUUAAACAAAUUUUCAUAUCAAUUAAGUUACAAAAUUUCUGUGACAAAUUUCCACGUACUGGAACCAUGCAAAAGGGCUUUAUUCAAGCAAAGCUGCAUAGCCGUUGGCAAUUAAAAUUAUUUAUCAAUUAAGUUAAGUAGUAAGAAUUGGAUUGUGGAUUCCAUUAAUUAUUUCAAGGAAAAUUUUAUAGAUAAUGCCGUAAUGAAAUUUACGGCAUCAAUAUCACGAUAAAUAUAAAUAUUGUAAAUUACAAAUAGAAUUAGUAAAUGUAAAGUAAAACCAGUAAAUUCAUAAAAGAUUAUUAAUUAUUUAAAAAAUUAACAUUGUGUUAUGUUUGCAAGUUUUUGUUUUGUUUACUAGUUUUAUGUUAUGUUUGCAAGUUUUUGUUUUGUUUACUAGUAAUAGAUUAAUGGGUAAUUUUUAAUUGAGUCCUCAUUAGUUCUAGAAAAACAAUUCAGAGACCAGAAGUUUACUAAAUGAAUCAAUUAAAUUCUUUCAAGUACAAACUAAUGUCAUUCAAGUCCUUAACUUAAUUGGUCAGUUAAAAAUAUUAACAACGUCGAGGACAUUUUAGUAAAACAACAAUUGAGUCGUUUCUCAUUCUUUAUUUUUGACAGGUGGAAAUAGUUUAAAGUAAACUCACUUAACCUGAUUAAGUUAAGGAUCAGUUCUUUCAAAUGAAAAAAAAAAAAAAAAAAAACCUACAGAAACUGCCAUAUUCUUCGUGUGGGAGGAGAGAUCGAGAGAACGUGGGAUGGUGCAAAAAAUGUUGUAUAAAUCUACUGUGAUUUUGACCAAAGCUUUGGUAGCAUUGAUUGAGUUCAAGUACUGGAGAGAACCUGAGUUUAAAGGUUAGUAACUCUAUUUUUUUAGUGAUUUCUGCAAGCAUUUUCUGAUAAAAAAUUUUCCGUAUUGAGUGAUCGUUGUGAAAAAUUAAGUUUUUCAAGUCUAUUUUACAAAAUGACAAACUAUGUUUAAUUAUUGGUGGAUUCUUUUUUUUGUUCAAUGUUGUAUUUUGUUAAUUUGUUGUUUUUAAUUUGCUCUUAAUGUAAUUGUUAGACCAAAUACACCAUUAUUAUACCUGUAUUCAUUUCAACAAUUUGGUAUCGUUAUAUUAAUAAGAUUGAAUUCAUUGUAUUUGCUUCUUUGUUCAUGUAAAAUUGAAUUCUAUGUAUUCUUAUGAGUGAUAAUUUUUCUAUCUAUUAGACUAAAUUCACUAUAUUCACGACUUUCUUUCUUUUUGCUGGGCUAUUUUUUCUUUUUAGUUUAUAUUUUUUAUAUGUAUUAGAUUGAAUUUGCUUUUGUACGUUUUUUUAGCCGAAUUACAUGUAUAUUUUAUUUAGGUUGAGUUUUUUUGUUGUUUGCUAAAUAAAAUUCUAUUGGUUUAUCAUUUUUUGAUGCAAUACUUUUUGUUUAAAAUUAAUGCAGGUAGCCAUGUUACCUUUUUUUCGGUUAAAAUUAAUUGGGUGAUGUAUGCGAUAUAGGGAACCAGAGGAAUAUAAGAUUAUUAGGUUGUUUCUUGAAAUUCAAGAUGUCAUGGUUGAGCAUGGACACAGUGAAAUGGAUUUGAUUGAAAUUUCUGUUGUAUUGCCAUGGACUACAAGUAGGCAGAGGAAGCUAAUUUCAAACGAUAGUGAAUUGUAUUGGGUUUUCGAGGAGUUUUUUUUUUUUUUUUAUCAAUAGUUGUCCUGUCAUUGAGUUUGAGGUGCACAUUGGGUCAGGUGGUCAGUCAUUUCAUGAAAGUGUUGUAAUAGGACCUGAAAAUCCUGUCAAUAUAGGUGUUAGUGUUAUAAUAGUGAUAAGUUUGAAAAUCCUGUGGCUAAAAAGGGUAUGCCUAGAAUAAUUGGUACUUCUUUAUUUGCCUCAAAGUUCAACACUAUGAAAUCCACCAAGAAAAAGAAUUUAUCCACUUUAACCAGCAAUCUUCAAUCUUGCCUUCAGGAUAAGCAUGAGAUCUGUCAGCACAUUGCAAUGACACUGUGGUUGGUCUGACUUCUCCAACUUCCAAUUGCUUGAAUUCUGAUAAUGUCAUAAGAUUGAUGGCUUGCUCUCAAAUCACAAAGUGUCUUGCCACUGUAUUUAGUUCCUAUGGAACAAGGAAUUGUGAAACUUCCUGGAUCCUUCAACUUCUGAGGCAUUUUACUCUGAAGCAUAUGGCUGCAUUCUUGUGUUAGAGCAACUAUUUCGAAUUCUCCAAGCCUCCACUACUAGAAAAACAGGCUACUAUGACAGAAUUUUUGUGAUAGAUAUCAGAAAAUUAGUCAUUUAUCACAAAAAUAUAACAUACAUGUGAUAGAAUUUUCAUAUAUCAACAAGGCAUGAUAGAUUUGUGAUAGUUUCUUUAUCUGUCACUUGUACAUGAUAGCAUAUUAAUAUAGUAAUGAAACGGUGAGUUUAAGAUUGGCCAAUUUGGGCAUUGAACGACACCGUGUCUUGAAGCCUUUAAAAAAAAUUCUAAGUGUUGGACACUCCUUUGAACUUCACAUAGAAAACCCUAAUUUCUACAUCCAAACUGAAUCACACAAAAAUACACCAUCACACUUGCCGCCAAUAAAUUGUUGUUGUUCGUCUUUGUCGUCAUCUUCAUCCCCACUCCACAGCUUGCUGGCUAUUCCCAUUUCCCUUUUAUAGCUUGAACAACUGAUCUUCUUCAAGUUCGAGCCACUGUUACUGACUUCUUUCGGGAGAGGUAAGUGAUUAAUUCUUUUUUUUUUUUGAAGAGACAACAAUCACCAUAAAUUUCUCAAAAUCCCUAAAAUUAUGCCAAAAAAAGGAAAAAAUAAAGCCGUUCCAUGGCCUUAAAGGACUGACUUCGAGUUCGUGGACUAACGUGCCAACGACUCCGCUUUAUGGCCUUCGUGGAACGAUUCCGUGACACGCGAGUGGCAGCGUGCUAUUUACGUGGAGUCGGAUCGGAGAAGAUUGUACUACGAGGAGUUGGCGAUGUGAGAAAGACAGCGAGUUAGCUACUACGUCUUCGACUUAGGGUAAAAUUUUGGCAGAAUUUGAACUGAAAUUUAGUGGGUUUUGAGUGGUAAGACGAGGUUUUGAGAGAGGAAAAGGAGUGUUUGGCUGGCGAGAAAGUGAGAGAAAGUUUUUGAGUGUGGAGUGAUGGCUUCUCUGUUUUUACUUCUUUAUUGUUCUUUAUUGAGUAGAUGGUGACGAUACAAACUUUUAACAUUGUUUACUUAAUUAAUUGGAUAACAAUCUUACAUGACUAUUUUGAUUUAUCAGAUAAAUCAGUUAGAGAAGAAUGGAGAUGUUGUUGCUCAGGCACGAGCAAUUACAGCAAUCUAGACACUCUGCCCCGUCUUUCUUUCAAUGUUGUUGGCACACUGAAUAAUUUCCUUAGUGACAAGUUAACCAAAUUUAGAGGUAUAUGUGAUUUUGAUUUGACUUACUCUUAAUGAAAUACAAUAAGGAUUUUUUCUGUUGUUUCUAGGCCUUUUGGAGAGUUCGGAUUGAAGCAACGUUUGCCUUAGCUAAUACAACAUCUAAGGUAUUGUUAUUAUUCUCACCUUUAUUUAUUAAAUAUAUUGAGCACAUGGUAGGUCCACCAAAAUGUAUGCAAAAUCUAUUCACCAGAGGUAUUCGCAUAAAGUGAAUUUUUGUGAGAGACUAUUCUUCAACUGUGAAAACUACUUUGGUAGUUCUCAAACCCAUUACAAUUGAUUGGUGCUUGUGUUUUUCUAUUAGAAAGAUAUCUUCUGUAAAAUCUUUGUGAACUACAUUUUUGGAAAUGCAAAUGCUUUGUGUGGUGGUGAUUGUGCUUAUUUGCUUGGUCUUCUAGCAUUUCAGUGAAAUGAUUUAUUUUGACUUGUGCUUAUGACUAACUUGUUGACAGAGAAACUAGGCCAUUUAUGGAUGCACUGAUAUGAAUCCUAUAAUUUUUCUCUUAAUUGACAUGUUGAACUUUUUGGAAGAUAUUUUUUUUUUAUUUGAUUUGUCACAUAUUGUGCUUUAUUAGUUGGAAAUGUUUUGGUUUGUGGACCAUGUUGCACUUACCAGUUCUCAAUAUUGAUAUAUGAUAUAUACACACUAUUGUACUGGAAAUUGAUUGAGUUGGUUUGCUCCAUCUGGUGAAAUUUUAUAAAAGUCGAAGGUUUGAUGAGAAUAUUGGACUCCCCAAGUGAGAAUCUAUCUAAGUUUGAAAUUGUUCUGAUAUCGUUGCUGCAGCACUUUGUUAACGUUUUUGUUUUCUGCUGAUCAUUCCAGGCCAAAUGAUAUCCGUGAUUUUUCAGAGUAUUUGUUCUUGAGGUAAUGCCUUGAGGUAAGGUAUGUAAUGAGUUGUGUGAAGUGGGAUGUGAUAAUAAUUUUGCCCUCGCUUCAUGUGAUGAAAUCCCACAUAAUUUGCCCUUGCUUUAUGUGAUGAAAUCUUUGGGUGGUUUGUUUAUUUAGUGUUUUUCUAUUUCUUUUUAUAUGCUAAUUUUCAUAGUUCUAGAGCAAGUCUUUCUCUAGUCAUUUUGAAAUACUUCCACAUGCUGCUUCUUAAGCCAAGAUUGUCUUGCCCUAAUGAACAAGUUAAAUGGAUUUGCGUUGCUUGGAGUCUCAGUGUAAUAUAUGUGUUUUAGAACUUAGAUUGAUAAACAAAUUUGAACAAAUACAGUGGAAUAAGAAUAAAGAGAAGAUUAAAAAAAAAAGAGUAGAAAUAAAGAAAAGGAUGGUGAAACUUUAGGAGAAUAGGGGAAUCAAGAGAAGAGGAUAGAAUUUUGAUGGAUUUUAUUUAAUUAUGUAACGGAGGUUUUGUGUUGUUAGAUGUUGUGCGUUAAUUAAUUUGUAAUCUUGGAAAAAUACUUUAUCAUGAAUUGGGUUAAUUGUAAGUGGUCAAUACACUAAUAUAUAUUCUUCUAGCACUCAUCUAAAUGUAAUAUGUGUUUCAGGUGAUGUUGGUGGCUCUUGGGAAUUUACUAUCAGUGUUCUUUUUACGAAUUAAUUGUUUUUCUAAUGAUGGGGUAGUGAUUGAAUAUUGUAGAGAAUUUAUGAGUUAUUCUUACGGAUUUGAUUCACCAUGUAUUUUGAUGAUACUAUUUGUUGGAAGUUUCAAGUAAUUGAAAUUUUUAGUAUAUGGUGAUAUUUGGUAUUUGAUAGUUUUUAUGAAUUUGAAUGUAAUUUUUAUUUCAGUUAAUUCAAAUUUUAAAAUGUGGGUUUUGUUAUUUCUAUUUCAAAAUUCUGGAAUUUAAAUAAUAUUAAUUAGUAUUAUUAUAAUUUCAAAAUUAAAAAUAAUAAUUUUAUUUUUUUAAACCUUAAAUCUCAUGACAGAGAAUGUGAAUCAUUAAUAUAUGAAAGAUUUUGAAAAAGCCCACCAAAUUCAAUAUAAUUUAAAUUACCUGCUAAAAUUUCCAAUUAAUUCUCAAAAGCCUUGCAAAACGACGUCGCUUGGUUCGUGACAUAUGCGUGAUAGAUAUACACUGUCACAGAAACAUGUGAUAGAUAAAAUGUUGUCAUAGAUUUAUGAAAGGGGCUACAAUGACAGAUGGAAACUCUGUCAUAAGAGGGGUCGGAUGACAGAUAUUCUCUGUCAUGAUAGCCCAUUUUUCUAGUAGUGCUCAUUUUCCUUGCCAAUAUACAUUUCCAAAACUUUACAUAAUUUGGCAUUUGUUCCAAUGCUUCCACAAAAGGAAUGUUGAUAUGCAGUUGUUUCAAUACUUCCACCACCUGUCCCCAAGUUCCCACCACCACCUCACCCUUGCGUCUAUGCAUCUCCCCCUCCUCCUUACUACUACUAGAAAGCGGCCAUGAAUAGCUCAUGCUUUUAUGGUAAUCUCAUUUAUUUUUAAAACUGUACAUGUAAAGACUAGUAGUUCAGAAUUACAUUAAGCAUCAAAUUUAAGCACCGUGUUCUAUUUAAUUGCGUUCCUAUUGAUUAAGUGACAAAUAAAAGAGAUUGAUUAAUUUGUUCUUGUAGGAGAGGCGAAUGGUAUCCGAAUAAAGAAAGCAAGGGUUUGAUGGAAGGCUUACUUGGAGCAAGAUAGCGAUCAAUCGAGUUGCUGCGUUUUAUUCUCUUUUAUCUUUGUUUUUUAAGAAAAAUAAACUGCCACACGUAGAAACAGAAAAGUUCUUGUCAUUUUCAUGCAUAUGGAUUGUUGCUGUGUGUUUCAAUCAAUUCUCUGGCGUGUCAUUUGUAAUUUUCAACCUUCAUGCAUGCAAAUGCGAGACCUCUUUCGUAUAAUAAAAUUAGGGGAUUGUCACUUUCCCCCUACAGUAAUUAACAUAUAUUAUUUAUUCUCUUACUAUUUUUAUAAUGGCCAAAAACCCACUGACAACAUAAGUUUACAAUAUUACCUUUAUUUUUAACUACUCUUUUAUUUACAUUUAUUAUAAAUUAAAUAAAUUACAUGAAUAGAAACUAAAUAAAAAAAUUAAGUAUUAAAAAUAAGAAAUAUAUGUUGAUAUGAGGAAAAAAAUUAAUAAUAAAAUUUUUUUCUUGUAAUUAUUUAUUUUGUGAACAUUUUCUUAUAACAUUUUGUAAUAUUUUAAAAUUAAAUGUAAAAAGUAUAGGCAAAAUAUUUUAUUAUUUAUCUUAUAAUAAAUUGUUAUUUGUCAUUCAAAUUUUCUUAUAAUAAUUUUUUUUAUCAUUUUAUAAUAACUUUCUUAUAUAUUUAUUAUAAGAAAAUUUUCACAAAAUAAAUAAGUACAAGAAAAAAAAUUUAUUAUUAAUUUUUUUCUCAUAUCAAAACAUAUAAUAAUUUUUUUCUCAUAUCAAAACAUAUAUUUCUUGUUUUUAAUUCCUAAUUUUUUAUUUGAUUUCUAUUCAUGUGAUUUAUUUAAUUUGUAAUAAAUAUAAAUAAAAGAGUAAUUGAAAAUAAAGGUAAUGUUGUACACUUAUGCUAUCAGGGGAAGUUUUGGCCAUUAUAAAAAUAGUAUGGGAAAAAUAGUAUAUGUUGAUUACUAUAGGAGGGAAAUUAGCAAUCUCCCAAUAAAAUUAAUAUACUUCCCAAGACCGUCUUAUCUUGCGUUGACUUUUUACGUUCCUUUGGUGAUGAUUUUGACGUUUGAAAUUGAUGACUAUUGUUUUUGUAAACUCUGCAUGGAUUUUUCGUGCAACUACAGAGCGCAUUAACGAGAGACUUAUUCAUGAGGGUCCAUGCAGAUCAGUGUCUAAUUAACGAAUAAUUAAUAUAACUUAAAAAAUAUAUAGUUAACAAUUUUUAUGGGUCAUGCUCAAUUGCAGAUGUUCGUACAAAAUUUCUUGCUAAUGUAUACUUGAGUAUGAUAAUAAGUUUUAAUCAUUAUUAAUAAUUCACUUGAUAAUAUUAAACAAAUUUUCAUAUCAAUUAAGUUACAAAAUUUCUAUGACAAAUUUCCACGUACUGGAACCAUGCAAAAGGGCUUUAUUCAAACAAAGCUGCAUAGCCGUUGGCAAUUAAAAUAAUUUAUCAAUUAAGUUAAGUAGUAAGAAUUUUAUUGUGGAUUCGAUUAAUUAUUUCAAGGAAAAUUCUAUCGAUAAUGCCGUAACGAAAAUUACACAUAAAAUUAGUAAAUGUAAAGUAAAACCAGUAAAUUCAUAAAAAAUUAUUAAUUAUUUAAAAAAUUAAUAUUGUUUUUACAUAAUUUUAGUGCAAAAUAUUUUAUUUAGUUACAAAAAAAAUUUCUUUAAUUAAACAAAAAAAUUAUACAGAAAAAAAGUGGAAUACGUUUUAUUGAAUUGGUUACCAUAAAUUCUGUAAUUAUUCUAGGACAUUUGUAUACAUUUUUUUCUCAUUUUCUAUAAUGACAUCUAUUUAUUACACAUGUUAAUUAAGCGCAAUUAUUUAUCUUGAUGUGGAUCAAGUAAAAAUAAAAGAAAAGAUAUAUCAAUCAAAUUAGAUAUAAUUUUGAAUACUAUGUAUACUUUAUGUAGUUUCAAACUUUUUACUUGUAUUUGGAGACCAUUUAAGAUUGUUGUUGAAGAAGUGUAGAAAGAUGUAAAAUAACGUCAUCUUACAACAAUUAUAAUGAUAUCUAUUUAUUACACAUGUUAAUUAAGCACAAUUAUUUAUCUUGAUGUGGAUCAAGUAAAAAUAAAAGAAAAGAUAUAUCAAUAAAAUUAGAUCUAAUUUUGAAUAGGGAGAUUGCCAAUUUUCCCCCUACAGUAAUCAACAUAUACCAUUUUCCCCCCUACUGUUUUUAUAAUGGCCAAAAACCCCCCUGAUAGCAUAAGUGUAUAUUAUUACUCUUAUUUUCAACUACUCUUUUAUUUAUAUUUGUUAUAAAUUAAAUAAAUCACAUGAAUAGAAACCAAAUAAAAAAUUAAGCAUUAAAAACAAGAAAUAUAUGUUUUGAUAUGAGAAAAAAAUUAAUAAUAAUUUUUUUCUUGUACUUAUUUAUUUUGUGAAAAUUUUCUUAUAAUAAAUAUAUAAGAAAGUUAUUAUAAAACGAUAAAACCAAUUAUUAUAAGAAAAUUUGAAUGACAAAUAAAAAUUUAUUAUAAUAUAAAUAAUAAAAUAUUUUGUCUAUACUUUUUACAUUUAAUUUUAAAAUAUUACAAAAUGUUUAUUAUAAGAAAAUGUUCACAAAAUAAAUAAUUACAAGAAAAAAAUUUUAUUAUUAAUUUUUUUUGCUCAUAUCAAAUCAUAUAGUUCUUAUUUUUAAUACUUAAUUUUUUUAUUUAUUUUCUAUUCAUGUAAUUUAUUUAAUUUAUAAUAAAUAUAAAUAAAAGAGUAGUUAAAAAUAAGGGUAAUAUUGUAAACUUACACUGUCAGGGGGUUUUUGGCCAUUAGAAAACAACAAGGGGGUAAAUGGUAUAUGUUAAUUACUGUAGAGGGGAAAGUGACAAUCCCCCUUUUGAAUAUUAUGUAUACCUUAUGUAGUUUCAAACUUUUUACUUGUAUUUGGAGACCAUUUAAAGUUGUUGUUGAAGAAGUGUAGAAAGAUGAAAAAUAACUUCAUCUUACAACAACUGUGAAAGAUAUUAAAAUAAUAUUUUUUCAAAAUCCAAUUUUUAGCAUAAAUUUCAUCCUUAAUUAAACAUCACAUGUAUUAUAUAAAUGAAAAACUAACAUUAUUCAAUUUAAAUUAAAAAAUAAUAAAUAUAUGAGGUAAUAAAUAUUAUAACGAGUUUUUAUUUUAAAAUUGUAAACUUUUGUUUCUGACAGUAACUCUUAUAUUAAUUUACUUAUUUUGCCUUUUAUUCAUAAGUUUUAUGCAUAAUCUACAAACUUUAUGUUUUAUUUUGCAUUUAAUGUUGAUUUACCUUUUUUAUAUUAUAUUUAUAAGUUUUCAUUUGAUUUACCAGUAAUACAUCAAUUUAUCAAUUUUAUAGUAAUUUACUUAUUUUACCUUCUUUUUACAAUUCUUAUGUUUCAUUUUCAAAAUUUAUGUUUUAUUUUACAGUUAUUGAUGAUUUACUAGUUUUAUAUUAUGUUUGCAAGUUUUUGUUUUAUUUACUAGUAAUAAAUUAAUGGGUAAUUUUUAAUUUAGUCCUCAUGUUUUCGAGAAAAAAAUUCAGAGACUAGAAAUUUACUAAAUGAAUCAAUUAAAUUAUUUCAAGCACAAACUAAUGUCAAUCAAGUCCUUAACUUAAUUGCUUAGUUAAAAAUAUUAACAACAUUGAGGAUAUUUUAGUAAAACAACAAUUGAGCCCUUCCUCAUUCUUUAUUUUUGACAUGUGGCAAUAGUUUAAAGUAAAUUCAAUUAACCUAAUUAAGUUAAGGAUCAGUUCUUGCAAACGAAAAAAAAAAAAAAACCUACAAAAACUGCCAUAAUCUUCGUGUGAGAGGAGAGAUCGAGAGAAUGUGGGAUGGUGCCAAAAAUGUUGUAUAAAUCUACUAUGAUUUUGACCAAAGCUUUGUUAGCAUUUGUUGAGUUCAAGUACUGGAGAGAACCUAAUUAUAAAGGUCAGUAACUCUAUUUUUUUAGUGAUUUUUGCAAGCGUUUUUUGAUAAAAUUGUUUCCAUAUUUAGUGAUCGUUGUGAAAAAUUAGGUUUUUCAAGUCUAUUUUUCUAAAUGACAAACUAUGUUUAAUUACUGGUGGUUUUUUUUUUAUUGAAUGUGGUAUUUUGUUAAUACAUUGUUUUUAAUUUGCUCUUCAUGUAAUUAUUAGACCAAAUACGCCAUAAUUAUAUUUGUAUUCAUUUCAACCAAUUGGUAUUGUUAUAUUAAUAAGAUUGAAUUCAUUGUAUUUGCUUCUUUGUUCAUGCAAAAAUUGAAUUCUAUGUGUUCUUAUGAGUGGUAAUUUUUCUAUAUAUUAGAAUAAAUUCACAAUAGUUGCUAAUUUCUUUCUUUUUGCUGGGUUAUUUUUUCUUUUUAGUUUUUAUUUUUUAUAUGUAUUAGAUUGAAUUUGCUUUUGUACUUUUUUUAGCCGAAUUACAUGUAUAUUUCAUUUAGGUUAAGUUUUUUUGUUCUUUGCUAAAUAAAAUUGUAUUGGUUUAUCCUUUUUUGUUGCAAUACUUUUUGUUUUAAAUUGAUGCAAGUAGCCAUGUUACCUUUUGUUUUUCAGUUAAAAUUAAUGGGGUGGUGUAUGAGAUAGGAUAUAGAGAACCAGAGGAAUAUAAGAUUAUUAGGUUGUUUCAUGAAAUUCAAGAAUUCAUGGUUAAGCAUGGACAUAAUGAAAUGGAUAUGAUUGAAAUUUCUAUUGUAUUGCCAUGGACUACAAGUAGGCAGAAAAAGCUAAUUUCAAACGAUAGUGAAUUGUAUUGGGUUUUUUAGGAGUUUUUUUUUUUAUCAAUAGUUGUCAUGUCAUUGAGUUUGAGGUGCACACUGGGUCAGGUGGUCAGUCAUGUCAUGAAAAUGUUGUAAUAGGAUCUGAAAAUCUUAUCAAUAUAGCGGUUGGGUGGGUAGUGAUAAGUUUGAAAAAUUUAGUGAGGAUGGCUUUAUCGGAGGGCUCUCAUCUAAUGAAGAGAAUGGUCUCUCACAUAUGUAUAAAUCCAUUGUUGAUAAUGAGUAGAAACCAAAUCCAAAUAGUUUAAUUAGUCUAAAAGUAGGAAAUACAUUUGAAUCUGUUGCAUUAUUAAGAGAGGUUAUAAUGAAGUAUGCAAUCGAAGAGGGUUUUUAGUUGAAUAGGAUUAAAAAUGAUGGUGUUAGGUAUUAUGUCAAUCUAAAAUGCACUUGGAAACUUAAUGCUUCAUCGAUGGUUGACGGGAUAACUUUUAAAAUUAGGUAUAUUAAAGGGAAACAUGAUUGUCAGAUUAAAUAAGUUAACAAAGAUGCAACAGCACAUUGGAUGAUGUACAUGUCAUAAUGAGAGAGCUAAAAGAUAAACAUAGGAUUGAAUGUGAUAAACAAGAACUAUGCAGGGCAAAAGAAAUUGCACUAAAAAACCUAGGUCUUGACCAUGUUGCUUGCUAUGGAAAGCUUUUGAAAUAUGCUCACAUUCUAAUGAAAAUGAGUAGAGGUGCUUGUGUCAAGCUAAAGUUGAUAGGCCAUUGUCAAAUAGCCUAGUUUUUCAAAGGUUUUUUUAUCAUUUCCCGCACUUAAAGUGGGGUACCUAACUGGGUGUAGACCUUUCAUAAGAUUGGAUGGGUGUCACUUGAAUGGGCCAUAUAGGGGAGUAUUGUUAUCUGUUGUUGCAUUAGAUGCUGACAGUAGAAUUUUGCCACUGGCUUUUUGCAUAUGUGAGGCAGAAAACUAUGAUAGUUGGGGUUAUUUUUUUUAUCUUUUUUGUAUGAAUUCAUUGGGGCCGAUGAUCAUAGACCUGUGACUAUUAUUAGUUAUAGACAAAAAGGUCUUUUAUGGCGACUAAAAAAAUAUUAGCCUAAUGCUAGCACUAGAUAUUGUGCUAGGCAUAUCUUUGCCAAUUGGAAGUGCAGGUUUCCUGGUUUGAAUGUGAUGGGGUUAUUCUGGAAAGCUUGUAGGGCUGCAAAUCAAUAUGACUUUGAGAGGGCAAUGAGUUAAAUUAGGGCUAAAGACCAAAAUUGUUGUUGCUUAAAGAUUGUGGGAAUAUGAGAUAUUUCCUUGGAAACCAGCAUUGGCUCUAAGUUAUUGCUUAAAGAUGUCAAACAUGUACCAUAUAUUCUUCUUAAUUUGAUCUCUACAGGCAAGCUUGAUGAUGAUGGUUAUACCAACUAAUUUGGUGAAGGAGUAUGUAAGCUCACCAAAGGCUCCUUAGUGUUAGUUAAAGAGAGGAAAGUAAACACCCUCUAUGUGUGAUAACUCUAUGAAACGAGAGUUAUUAUAGAAAUUCUAAACUUAAAUCAAUAUUACUUACAGAGUAAAUGAUGUGUUUCUAUUGUAUUUUUGUUACAUUGUGUAUAAACAUUCAUUUUAGUUUAGUCUUAAUAAAUUUUGCUUAAUUUAGAAUAAUUCGUGCUUAAAUUGUGUGCAUAAUUAUAGGUGUCUAGAAGCUCAUAUCUCAUGGAAGGAGUGUUGAUGCAAUAGGCUUGUAAAAAUGAGGAAGAACAUGGCUACAAAAGAAUUGAAACAAAUCUGGAAUAAUGUAGUGUUGUAGCCGUUCUUGUAGCAACCAUUGCUGUAGCAAUCCUGGAACAACGAUAGAGAAAAUUUAGCACGAGAUACUUGUAGAAUCAAGAUCUGCAAUUUCUUAAUUUGACUUAUGCGCGCCCUGGGCUUCUGUUUACCCUAGUUUUCAGUUAUAAAAAGAGCACGCAUCAUAUGGUAAAAGGGGCGGUGAAUUAACAGCAAAGAAAUCAAGAGGAAAAGAAUGAAAAAUCAGAAUUCAAGGGAGAACAAGUCUGCACCAGUGAAGAUAUUGGCAUAACUAUUUGGAUUCAAUUUUCAUCGUUCUUUACUUAUCCCUUUUCUUACUCUUUGAUUGAACCGAUGGAUUUCAUCGCUGAUACUUUGUUGUUUGUUUUUCUUUUCCAAAGUAUGAACUAAAUUUGAUUGUAAUUGAGUGACAAACAAUCUCAAUGGGUUCUUGACUGUUCUUAUGAGUUAUUAAAAGAUUGCUGUAGCAUUUUGCUGUAAUAGCUUAUAUUAGAAUUAUUAUUUCGGUUGACCUCCCAUUUAAUGGUUCAAGUUAAGAGAGAGCCACAAAAUGGCAUGUCUUAGUGGAAAUUAUUAGAGUAAUACUUGAUCUUAAUUUAAGUUUUCUGGAUUGAGUUUAACUUGAGCCCCAAAAGAGCCACACUUGAGUUAAGAUUUGUGAAGAACUAGAUAUAGGGAUUCACCUUAUAGGGUAGAGGGGGUGUAUGUUCAUAAUGCCAUACCUUAGGUGAAAUGACAACUGGUCAUUGUUAGAGUGCUUAAGGGUAUGAGAAGUCCAACAAGCGACAGCUGAGGAUGCAAAAUAAUUUUGCACUGUGCUGUUGGAAUUGCUGUAAUAACUGGUGUUUAUUUGAACAGAACAGUCAGCCCAUGAAUAGAGUUUGAUCAUUCAGCUACCUCAUUCUCAUUAAAUUCUUCUUUACGCAAUUCAUCUAAUUUACUUUAUUACUGCAUUUAUUUUAUUAAAAUUGUUAAUUUCGGUAGUAAUAAACUUUAAUUAGAUUUCUCUUUAGAUAAAAGAAAUUUGCACUGUCGUGAUUGCUAUAGCAUUUCUAGUAAUAUCAGUUCAUGUGGAGACGAUCUUGAAUAUUCAUCAUUUUAUUACUUGUUGUGUACACUUGCACAUGAUAUCAAUAGCAAUUGAGUUAAAUUAAAUAACAAGUUUUUGGCGCCGUUGCCGGAGAUUGAUUGUUUAUUUUUGAAGUGUGAAGUCAAUCUUGACAAAUGCCAACUUGAUCUAAUUCAUUCUAUUUAUUGACAGAUCAUGACUUGCAUGGGCAAAGGCAGAUCUGUUGAAUUUCAAUUUGAUCCUGAGAUUGAAAGGACUGUAAGGAGAUUGCGAAGAGAGUGAAGAAAUUCAAAAACUGUUUCAAAAAUGGAUAACUUGCAAGAUGUGGGAAACUUGGAUCCUCACGGGCCACUACAACCUGUCAAUGUUCAAGAGGGGCAAAUGGGCACGUUAAUCAAAGACAACCAAGCAACAACAAUAUCAUUUACAUGGAAGACGAUAGAGAUAGGGUUAUCAGAGAUUAUGUUGUGUUAACUCCUUAAGUUGUACAUCUUGGAAUAGUCAGACCUGAAGUGGAAGCCGCCAACUUUGAACUUAAACCGGUAAUGUUUCAAAUGCUACAAAUAGUGGGUCAAUUUAAUGGACUGUCAUCUGAAGAUCCUCAUCUCCAUCUUAAGUUUUUUUUGGAAGUAAGUAAUGCUUUUAAAACUGCUGGAACAACGCAUAAUGCUUUGAGACUGAGGCUUUUUCCUUACUCCUUAAGAGAUCGAGCAAGAGCAUGGUUGAAUUCCUUACCAUCUGAUUCCAUCACUACAUGGAAUGACUUGGCUGACAAAUUCUUAAUGAAAUAUUUUCCACCAACCAAGAAUGAAAAAUUGCAAAAUGAGAUCACCUCUUUUCAUCAACUUGAAGAUGAGAGCUUGUUUGAGGCUUGGGAGAGAUUUAAAGAGUUUCUCAGAAGAUGUCCUCAUCAUGGCAUUCCCUGUUGCAUACAGCUAGAAACCUUUUACAAUGGGUUGAAUCCAAGUACAAGAUUGAUUGUCGAUGCUUCAGCAAAUGGAGCCCUAUUAUCCAAAUCUUACACUGAAGCUUAUGAAAUUUUGGAGAGAAUUCCUAACAAUAACUACCAGUGGCCAUCAACUGAAAAACUGUAGCAAGAGAAGCAGCAGGGGUACAUAACAUAGAUGCAAUUACAGCACUGUCAGCUCAAGUAACAUCAUUGACUAACAUGGUAAAAGCCAUGACUUCUACUUCUACAGUAGUAAAGCAAGUUGCUGAACUAUCUUGUGUGUAUUGUGGUGAGGAGCAUGUAUUUGACAAACUGUCUAGGAAAUCCAGCAUCAGUAAACUAUGUGGGAAACUUCAACCGACAGCCCUAGAACAACCCAUAUUCAAGUACUUACAACCCUGGAUGGAAUCAACACCCAAAUUUCUCAUGGAGCAAUCAAAAUCAGCAUGCUUCAGCACCUAGUGGACAGAACAAACAUGCUCAUCCACUUGGUUUUCAUCAGCAAAAUUAAGAGCAAAAACACACUAGCCAUGAUCAAAUCACCUCAUUGGAAACACUUUUUAAGGAAUGUAUCGUAAAGAAUGAAGCAAUUGUGCAAAAUCAAGCUGUAUCUCUGAGAAACCUGAAAAACCAAAUUGGACAGUUUGCCACAGCAAUGAGUAGUAGAUCUUAGGGAAGUUUACCCAGCAAAACAGAAGAUCCAAGAAGAGAGGUAAAAAACAUUGUAAAGUAAUCAACUUAAGAUAUGGGAAGAAUGUUGAUAUUGCUGUUGAUGUGACUAAAAAGAGGUUGGAACUUAACUCCUCACAAGAACCACCUCAAGAUGAAAUGAUGUUACAGCAACCCAGCCACUAAGAUACUGGCACUAGUGGUCAAGCUACAGCAACCUUGGAAGAAAAUCACCCAAUACCUAUUGAAGAAGAUGUUGCAACACCAGUGGUGACAAAUUACAAUAAAUCAAAUGAGCAGAUAUUGGUACCUCUUGAAGUUGUACAACAAUUUAGGCAUCCACCUCCUUUCCCACAGAGAUUCCAGAAACAAAAACAAGACUAAUAGUUUAGCAAAUUCCUGAAAGUGCUGAAACAGUUACACAUCAACAUACCUUUUGUGGAAGCAUUAGAGCAAAUGCCUAAUUAUGUGAAAUUUCUAAAAGAUAUUUUAACAAGAAAAAGAAGGUUGGGAGAAUUUGAAACUGUUGCUUUAACACAGGAAUGCAGUCACAUGUUUCAGAGUAAGAUUCCUAAAAAAUUAAAGGAUCCAGGAAGCUUCACAAUAUCAUGUUCAAUUGGAACUAAGUACAAUGGCAGAGCACUCUGUGACUUGGAGCCAGCAUUAAUCUAAUGUCAUUAUCUCUAUUUAAGCAAUUAGGAGUAGACUUUGAGUCUGAUAAAGAGGUACCAAUUAUAUUUGGAAGACCUUUCCUGGCAACCAGGAAGACUCUGAUAGAUGUUCAGAAAUGAGAGCUAACCAUGAGGGUGAAUGACCAACAAGUCACCUUCAAUGUAUUAGAAGCUAUGAAGAGUCCUGAUGAGGCAGAAGAUUAUAAUUUUUUUAGUGUUGUGGACCUUGUUGUGGCAGACAGAAUAAAUAGAUGCUGCAGUAAAAAGGUUAUCAAAGCUGCCACCUUUGAAAGCUUUGAAGAAGAAAAUGUUACAGCAAACCAGAUAGAUUGGAUGGUAGAAAGGCAAUCUAAAAGACAUAGCAGAUUUAUCGAACCUCUAAAUCUUUCAAACAGGGACAUAAAGACAACUUUACCAUCUAUUGAAUCAACUCCUACUCUUGAAUUAAAAUUGUUACCUUCACAUUUGAAAUAUUCAUAUCUUGGUGAGAACAAUACACUUCCGGUAAUCAUUUCAUAUUCUUUAGAUGCAGAUCAAGAAAGAAGUCUGGUAUAUGUGCUUAGGAAAUAAAGAAAAACAAUUGGAUGGACUAUGACAGACAUUAAACGGAUCAGCCCAUCCAUAUGCAUACAUAAAAUUCUGUUAGAAGACUGCUAUAGCAAUUCAGUAGAGCAACAGAGAAGGCUAAACCCCAUUAUGAAGGAAGUUGUAAAGAAAUAAAUCAUCAAAUGGCUGGAUGUUGGGAUCAUAUACCUGAUAUCAGACAGUUCAUGGGUGAGCCCAGUACAAUGUGUUCCAAAGAAAUAAGGAAUAACAGUAAUAGAAAAUGAAAAGAAUGAACUUAUUCCUACAAGAACAAUGACUGGAUGAAGGGUAUGUAUGGAUUAUAAGAAGCUCGACAAAGCCACACGGAAGGAUCACUUCUACUUUCAUUUAUAGAUCAAAUGUUAGACAGAUUUGCUGGAAAAUAAUAUUAUUGUUUCCUAAAUGGGUAUUUAGGUUACAACCAAAUUGUUAUACCCCCAGAAGAUCAGGAAAAGACUACAUUCACCUGUCCUUAUGGAACUUUUGCCUUUAAAAGAAUGCCCUUUGGUCUGUGUAAUGCUCCAGCAACUUUCCAGAGAUGUAUGAUGUCUAUUUUCUCAGAUAUGGUGGAGCAAACAUUGGAAGCCUUCAUGGAUGAUUUCUCAGUUUUUGGAGAAACAUACACUGAUUGUUUACAUAACUUGGAAGAAGCUCUUAAAAAAUGUGAGAUGACUAACUUAGUACUCAAUUGGGAAAAAUGCCACUUCAUGGUGCAAGAAGGCAUAAUGUUGGGUCAUAGAGUGUCCAAGAAUGGCAUAGAGGUAGAUAAAGCAAAAAUAGAAGUGAUAGAUAAACUGCCACCUCCCACUUCAGUCAAGGGUAUUAUAAGUUUUUUGGGACAUGUUGAAUUCUACAGAAGAUUCAUAAAAGACUUCUCCAAAGUAGCUAAACCAUUAUGCUCACUACUAGAACAUGACAAGCCUUUUCAUUUUGAUAAAGACUGUCUUUAAGCUUUUAAAGAAUUGAAGAAAAUUUUGAUCAUUGCACCAAUGGUUAUAACACUAGAUUUGACUCUAUCUUUUGAGCUGAUGUGUGAUGCCAGUGACCACUCUGUUGGGGCAGUGCUGGGGCAGAGAAAGAAUAAGAUUUUCCACUCUAUAUACUAUGCCAGUAAAACUCUUGUUCAAGCUCAGAUUAAUUACACCACUACAGAAAAAGAGCUGCUAGUAGUAGUAUUUGAUUUCAAUAAGUUUAAAGCUUACUUGGUGGGUACUAAAGUGACAAUCUACACAGAUCAUGCAGCCAUCAAGCACUUAAUCUCAAAGAGAGAUGCCAAACCAAGAUUAAUAAGAUGGGUAUUAUUGCUUCAAGAGUUUGAUUUGGAAAUUAAGGAUAGAAAGGGGACUGAAAAUCAAGUAGCAAACCAUCUAUCGAGGCUGAAAGCAAAUACGAGCACAUUGACUAAACAAGACAUCACUGAAACAUUUCCUGAUGAACAACUGUUAGUGCUAUAACAUGCACAGAUGCUACAGCAACCGAGAUCUCCAUGGUAUGGAGAUUUUGCUAACUACUUAGUAAGUGGAUUGCUACCACCUGGGUUGAAUUUUCAGUAGAAAAAGAAAUUUCAUUUUCAGUAGAAAAAGAAAUUUCAUUUUCAGUAGAAAAAAAAUUUUCAUUUUCAGUAGAAAAAAAAUUUUCAUUUUCAGUAGAAAAAGAAAUUUUCAUUUUCAGUAGAAAAAGAAAUUUUUUCAUGAUGUUAAAAGCUACCAGUGGGAUGAUCCAUACUUGUAUAAGUUAUGCUUAGAUCAGGUAAUCCGAAGAUGUGUUUCAGAGGAAGCAAUUUCACAUAUACUGCAAUAUGGCCAUGCUGCAGCAUAUGAAGGACAUUUUGGUGGACAAAGAACAACUGCUAAAGUUCUACAAUCAGGUUAUUACUGGCUUUCUAUUUUUAAGGAUACUUAUGAGUUUGCUAAACGUUGUGACAGAUGCCAAAAGACAGGAAACAUAACUCAAAGACAUGAAAUGUCAUUAACAAACAUUCUGGAAGUGGAGAUUUUUUAUGUAUAGGGAAUAGACUUCAUGGGCCUUUUCCCACCAUCCUUUGAGAAUUUUUAUAUCCUGGUUGCUGUGGAUUAUGUCUCCAAGUGGGUAGAAGCUGCAGCAUUACCUAUCAACGAUGCAAGAGCAAUAGUGAAUUUUCUUCAGAAAAAUAUUUUUUCCAGGUUUGGCACUCCACGAGCAAUUAUUAGUGAUGAGGGUACUCAUUUCUGCAACAAAGCAUUUGCUGCAGCAAUGGCCAAAUAUAGAGUCAAACACAAAAUUGCGACAGCAUAUCACCCACAAUCCAAUGGCCAGGCAAAAGUAUCUAAUAGGGAAAUUAAGAAGAUUCUAGAAAAGGUAGUGAAUCCUUCAAGAAAGGAUUGGUCAUUGCGAUUACAUAAAUCUUUAUAGGCUUUCAGAACAGCAUAGAAGACACCACUUGGCAUGUCUCCCUACCAAAUUGUGUAUGGAGCACAAAGCAUAUUGGGCACUGAAGCAAUUAAAUUAGGAUAUACAUGCUGCAACAGAGCAGAGGAAACUUCAACUAUGUGAACUUGAUGAAUUACGGUUAUUCUCAUAUGAAAAUGCAAGAAUCUAUAAGGAGAGAACAAAACAAUGGCAUGACAAGCACAUCCAAUAAAGAAAAUUAAUCCCUGGUCAACUAGUUCUGCUCCAUAAUACUAGGUUAAGACUAUUUCCAGGAAAGCUGAAAUCUAGAUGGUCUGGACUUUUCAAGCUGCUCAGAAUUUACCCUCAUGGGGCUGUUGAACUCUUAGAUGGAAAGACAGGCCAAGAAUUCAAAGUUAAUGGGCACAGAGUUAAGCAUUACAUGCAUUCAGUUACAGAUUGUUCAAAUGAGGUCGUACUCCUUAGUAAACCGGCAUUGUGAGCAUUCAAGAAAGGUCACGUUGAAGGACCUUAAAUCAAACAUUGAAUGGGAGGCAACCCAUUGCUGAGGCAGUCAUUUCAAAUGAAGUGGAUCCUCCAUGUUUUUGUUGUAGUAUUUAUUUAUUUAUUAUUUUUCUUAGUUAGGAUUGUUUAAUUUUUAUCUUUUAUUGUUUUAUUUUAAAAAAAAACGAAACAUGCCAAGUCACGCAAUUCUUAGAGUUGGAUUCAAUACUGACAAUUGGUGUUGUAAUAUUAACAGGUUACAAAGGCAAGUUACUUGACAGCAACCAUCUGAGGAGAUUGUUGUGCAGAUUGCUAGAGCAUACAUUUUGUUGCUGCAACAACCAAUUUUAUUAUUACAGUAACUUAACUACGGAGCCUCACAUUUUACCGUUGGAGAUAACAUGUGACAGCUAGUUGGGUGAACUCAGAUAAAGAUUGGGGAAGAAUGCAUAAUCUCUUAAAUAACUGCAUCAAUAUCUCUUUCCUAUUUUUAUGGGAUAUGCUUAAUAAAUUCAAAAAUUCUUCCCUAAUUUAUCUCUUUUACCAAAUUUAUUUUAUUUAUUUUGCACCUAUAUAAGAGUUUCAUUGUGCAUGUUGACCUCUAACACUAUUUUCUUUUCCCUUCACAGUCACAACCCCUCUAUUUUAUAACCUCUGCUCUUCGUUUCACUCUUGAACAUAUUACCACAGUUAUCCUACUACUGCAGUAAUGCCAAGGUAUAAAAGGACAGCCAGCCGACUAAACGAUCUAUCACAAUUUUAAAGUUACCAUGCGGAAGAGAAGUAUGAAGAAUUUAUUGAACCGCGCAAGAUUUUGGAAGAAAAAGGGCUUCAGUUCCCACCUCAACCCUCUAGAAUUGUGCAAUCAUUAUACGAUGCUGCAGCAAAGCACGGGUGGCUGGAGUUUUGUAACCACCCCCGAGAUCCUGUGUUGGAGCUAUUUGCAGCACUUGGAGGACCACCUACACCAAUUUGUUGUAUAUAUAAAAGUACCCAUAACAAUUUCCCUGAUUCACUGCUACAACAGUACAAUUUUGGUACCUCCAUUAUAGAAGUCAGUGAAGAUGUUGCUGACACAGAUAAACAUGAGGAAGAAACAGCAGCAGAACAGCAAGCAGAUGCUGAUAUAGAUGCUGAUAACCAGUCAGACCAGCAUGAAGAAUAAUGUGUCCAGUCUACAAUUGAUAGUUCCCCGACAGAGGAGGAGGAAAAGCAUGAGAAAGAACUCGAAGAACCCUCAGCCAGGACCUUUUCCAAGUCCAGGAAAAAGCACAUCAUACGAGAAAAGGAAGAUGAACCUGCAGAGGAGCCUCCCAUUCCAUUCCUCUCUCGAAAGGGCAAAGAGAAAGUAAUUACCCCUCCUGCAUCUGACGAUGAAGCCGAGCACAUUGAUGCAGAAUUGGAAGUUGCAGCAGCCAGGGUUACUCGUACACCCAUCGAGACAAAGCAUAUGCUUGAUAUCAUUGCCGCAAUCAUGACUGAGGGGUAUACAGUCGAAGACCCAACUCCAGCUCCCUCACGGCAAACCCCCAGCAAACCUAUUCUCGCUAGUCCUAAAGGACCCAGCAAAAGAAAGGGGGGCACUUCUGGAGGCAUUGCUGCAGUAGACACACCAGAGCCAAAGAGGACCAUAUCUGUUUUGUCCCAGCCAGCUGCACCCACUGCAACUCCUCCUACUAGCCCAUCGCAAAGAAAGAAAAAGUCAUUGCCAACUACCUCACCGCAAGAAUCUCCUAAAGACCGACUGCGGAGCGCCUCCAAAAAGCGGUGAAUUGGUUAUAAUUUAUUGCAGCAGUAUUUCUAGCACCAGGGGAGUACCACUACCCGCUAGUUUAUUUUACUUCUUCAUGCAACAACUUUUUCUUCAUUUAGUUUUAAUUUUCUGAUUUAUUUUGCAUGUCUUUUUAUUUAGUAUAUGCAUAUCUGGUUUAUAUGGUUUUGUUUUGUGUGCCUGUGAAGACACAACACCUUUCAAGUUUUGGGGGGUUGUGCUAUCAUAUAGUGUGUUAUUGAGUGCAUUGCAUGUGUUGUGGUGUUGUUUGUGAAGUGAAGCUCUGUAUCUACUGCUUAUGUAUGGAUUUGAAAGCCUAAUGAAGAUAAAUUGAGUGUUACUCAGUAUGUAUGAGAAUGCCCAGUAGGGAUAGUCAUAGAUGGAGAUUGAAAUUAUGUCCCGACACUUAGACUUUGGUUGAAAUUCAUGAGACUGCUGCAGCAAAAUCAAGAAAACUGCAAAGAGUAGAAAAUAUAUCAAGUUUAGGGGAAAUGUGUGUGUUGAGUUGUGCUUAUUAAAGUCUGUUCCAAUGGCUUAAAUGGUUGAGUAACUACGGCUGAGUAUGUACCCCAUAUGCAGACUUGAGUUAAAAAGCAACAAGAGUUAUGAGCAUUGUUGUAGCAAUUGAAAAAAAAAAGAAAAAAAAAAGAAGUCCUCUGUCUGAGAAAUUGAGUAGCCAUGUCUGUUAAUGAGCCCCAUGUUCAGCCUUGAGUUAAAGAUAUCUUUAGAUAAGACUAUGUUAUGACCAUUGCUAUAGCAACUCUGACAUGUACGUUGAGUAAGUAAUUGGGUGUCAUCAUUACAAGUGAUAGGCAUUCACAUGAAAGUUCAAUGUUGUAUUGAAGGGAGUGAAUAUAUAGAUAUAUAUAUAUAUAUAUAUAUUGUUUGUUGAAGCACAAUUUAUGUUUAUUUGUGAAUUAUGCUCUCCCAUAUAUGAAUAUAUUUGUGUUCUACCUUUGAAUUACAUGCAAUAUCUCUGUAAUGUUGUAGCAUCUCUGGACUUUGAUCAAAGUGGCACACACAUUUUGGACAGAAUGCAGCCUAAGUCUAGAACUGAACUGUUAUGGCUAUUUUGCAUGAUUAAGAGUGUGAUCUGAGGGUGGAAGAAUCCUUGCAACUUUGAUGAUAAAGCUGAGCUAUUUGUUGCAUGAUUGAGUGAUUGAAGUGUUAGCAUUGUUGUCAUUACUUAAAAACAAGUAAUGGUUUAAGUUUGGGGGUGUGAUAACUCUAUGAAAUGAGCGUUAUUAUGGUAAUGCUAGAAUUAAAUCAAUAUUUACUUAGAGAGUAAAUAAUGUGUUUCUAUUAUAUUUUUCUAUUGUAUUUAAUAAAUUUUACUUAGUUUAGAAUAAUUUGUGCUUAAAUUGUGUGCAUAAUUGUAGGUGUCCAGAAGCUCAUAUCUCAUGGAAGGAGUGCUGAUGCAAUAGGCUUGUAAAAAUGAGGAAGAACAUGGCUACAAAAGAAUUGAAACAAAUCUGGAACAAUGUAGUGUUGUAGCCGUUGCUGUAGCAACCAUUACUGUAGCAAUCCUGGAACAACGACAGAGAAAAUUUAGCGCGGGAUACUUGUAGAAUCGAGAUCUGCAGUUUUCUAAUCUGACUUAUGCGCGUCUUAGGCUUUUGUUUACCCUAAUUUUCAGUUAUAAAAAGAGCACGCAUCAUAUGGUAAAGGGGGCGGUGAAUUAACAUCGAAUAAAUAAAUCAAGAGGAAAAGAAGGAAAAAUCAGAAUUCAAGGGAGAGCAAGUUUGCACUAGUGAAGAGAUCGGCAGAACUAUUUGGAUUCAAUUUUCAUCAUUCUUUACUUGUCCCCUUUCUUACUCUUUGAUUGAACCGAUGUAUUUCAUGGCUGAUACUUUGUUGUUUGUUUUUCUUUUCCAAAGUAUGAACUAAAUUUGAUUGUAGUUGAGUGACAAAUAAUCGCAAUGGGUUUUUGACUAUUCUUAUGAGUUGCUGAAAAAUUGAUGUAGCAUUUUGCUCUAAUAGCUUAUAUUACAAUCAUUAUUUCGGUUGACUUCUCAUUUAAUGGUUAAAGUUAAAAGAAAGCCGUAAAAGGGCCUGUAUUAGUGGAAAUUAUUAGAGUAAUACUUGAUCUUAAUUUAAGUUUCCUAAAUUGAGUUUAACGUGAGUGCCAAAAUAGCCACACUUAAGUUAAGAUUUGUGAAGAACUAGAUAUAUGGAUUCAUCUUGUAGGGUAGAGGGGGUGUAUGUUCAUAAUGUCAUACCUUAGGUGAAAUAACAACUGGUCAUUGUUAGGGUGCUUAAGGGUAUGAGAAGUCCAACAAGAGACAGUUGAGGAUGCAAAAUAAUUAUGCCCAUGAAGAGAGUUUGAUCAUUCAGCUACCUCAUUCUCUUUAAAUUCUUCUUUACGCAAUUCAUCUAAUUUACUUUAUUACUGCAUUUAUUUUAUUAAAAUUGUUAAUUUCAGUAGUAAUCAACUUUAAUUAGAUUUCUCUUUAGAUAAAAGAAGUUUGCACUGUCGUGAUUGCUGUAGCAUUUCUAGUAACAUCAAUCCAUGUGGAGACGAUCUUGAAUAUUCAUCACUUUAUUACUUGUUGUGUACAUUUGCAUAUGACAUCAAUAACAAUUGAGUUAAAUUAACCAACAAUGUGUUAGAAGCCAAGAUUAAGAAAGAAGAUGUGAAUGUGGCUAUAAAAGAUUCUGACAUUGAGACAUGGUAUAAAAAGUUUGGUCACAUUGGUGAAAAAGGGUUAGAAACUCUUGCCAGAAAAAGAUUUCUACCCAGCUUCGUAGAUAUGUCCCUCAAGACUUUUGCUCAUUCCUUAGCUGGAAAGACACACAGAGUAGCUUUUAAAAGGUUUUCUCCAUCUAGAAAGUCGCAAAUCCUUGAUUUGAUUCACACUGAUUUUUGCAUGAUGUAAAGUAGAUCAAUUGGAGGUGCACUUUAUUUUGUUACUUUUAUUGAUGACUAUUCUACAAAGGUGUGGGCUUUUGCUUUGAAAUCUAAAGAUCAAGUGCUUGAUAUAUUUAAGUUCUUCCAUACUUAUUUUGAGAGAGAGACGAGAAGAAAAUUAAAAUGCGUCAGGGUAGAUAAUGGUGGUGAGUAUAAAAGGCCAUUUGACCAAUAUUGCAGAUCCCAUAGAAUUAGACUUGAGAAGACCGUACUAAAACCCCACUGUAGAAUGGUAUUGCAGAAAUGAUGAACAGAACAAUUGAAAAGAGAGUCAGGUGUAUGCCUUCUGAUGCCAAGCUUCAUAAAUCCUUCUGGGCAGAGACUAUGCGUUCUGCAGUUGACUGGAUUAAAUUUUUCUCCUUCAGCUCCAUUGAUGGUGAUGUACCUGAGAUAGUUUGGACUGAAAUAUAUGUUUAUUACAAACACUUGAGAGUGUUUGGUUACAGAAUAUAUGUUCACAUUCAUAAGGAUGAAAGAUCGAAGCUUGAUGACAAAGCUAAAAAAUGCAUUUUCUUAGGCUAUGGGCAUAAAGAAUUUGGGUACAGAUUAUGGGAUCCAGUGCCAAGAAAAUUGAUCAGAAGUAAACAUGUUGUGUUCCUCGAAGAUCAAAUAGUUAGUGAUGCAGAGAAUAGUGAUGAGUCUCAGUCAUCUCUAAAGAUUCCUAUUAUUCUAACUUUAGUUUCUUCAUCUAUAGUUCAUAAUGAUCAUGGAGGAGCUGGAGAGGAUAGUAAUGAUGGUCCAGCAGAACUAGUUGACCAAGCACCUCCAGAACCACCUGCACCAUCAAUGGAGCCUGAAUUGAGAAGAUUUACUAGAGAACGGUGACCUUCCACCAGAUAUCCUCCACAUGAGUAUAUGAUGCUUACAGAUGAAGGGGAGCCAUAAUGUUUUGAAGAAGCCAUGUUUCAAAUAACUCACAAUAACGAUACAAGGCUAGACUGGUUGAUGGGGUACCUAGCAACUUCUUGUUGUGUGGGCUGAUCAGACUUUACUUUCUUAGUUUCUGAUUCUUCUUAUGCUUGCAUUGUUACAGCAUAUACGGAGGGUUGUGCCUUUUUACGCUUGUUGGAUGCCCUAGGAGUUCUGCUAGGAGAUUUGAUGGGAGGUUGUUGAGUAAUGCUUACUGUAGUAGUUUCCCCAGAUGUGAUUUUAGCAAUAAUAUCAGGGAAACUCUUAUUUGCUUCAUCAGUUUUUGUAGCCCUGGUAUCAGCUGCUUUAAUUUCUGCAUCAAUAUCAUCUUGAUCAUUGUCUGAUUCUUCAUCAGUCAGAACUUUUUGUUUACCUUUACUUAGAAACACUGUAAUCGGGGGUUCAUCAUCCUGCCCAUCCUAUGUCUCAUCUUCGUAAACUUUUAUGAUGUGCUUCUUUUUACGUUUAGGAGGUACUACUGGAGGUGCCUCAUCCUUCUACGUUGCUGAUUCGUCUUCUGUACUAUAUUCCUCCUCUAUUUCUUCUUAUUAUUUUUCCUUCUUCUCUUUCUCUUCCUCUGCUGGUAGUGGGUCUUUUUCAGAUUCUAAUUCUUCUUCACUCUCUGCUGCUGCCUCAACUACUGGAGCAUCCCUUGUUAAUGUUUGGAAAUUAAACGGCUACAACAAGGAGUCAUGGAAAUCUUUGCUCUUUUUCUUCAUGUAGACUUCAAACUAAUGUCUAUGGUUUUCAAGGUGCAUUAAAUAAUUCCUGAAUCUUUGAUUUUGUUCUUUCCAUGCGUGUACACAUUCAUUAAUGGUGUCACUUAAUUCUUGCAGCUUCAUCUCAAUGCCAGUAACGUUCAUUGCUCUGGUCACAACAACAUACUCUGGUGUUGCUGUAGUAGUAGUUUCCCUAGCAAUUCUUUCAACAAUUCGAUCAGUAAGAGCUCAUUCAUUCUUAAUGCUUUCAUCUUUUGCUGAUAUUUUCACCCGAAAUACCAGACAAAUCCUAGUAAUGAGUGAGCGAAACAACAAAGCAGCAAUCUUGUGAUUUUUCAUGGCACACUCUAAUCUCCCUCUCUAUAAUUUUCCUCACAUCAAUUGGUAUACCCUUGAAAAUGGCAUAUAAUAGGUAAGAUUUUCAUGAGAUACGGUGGUGGUGUAUGUGGUGGGUAUCAAUCGAGAUUUUAGAAAUUUUACCCACACUUUGGCUACUGGUUUCAAAUCAAUUCUAUUCACUCCUCUGCCUUCCUCAUUCAACCAUGAACUACCCUCCACCAUAAGGAUUUCAAGCACAUCACUUCACUCCUUAGCAAUCAUAUUCUCAAUCAUUUUUGAAUACUCACAAUCAAUAUCAUAUGGUAAAUUAUAAAAAAGCAUUGAUUACCCUCGGAUCUAAAGGGACUUGAACAUUCCUUACCACUAUUGUGCAUUGGUCUUGCCGCAACAUGUUGGAGUAAAAUUCCUUAACGAUUGGGAGCACAAGGUCUCGUGGGUGAGUGUAAAAAUCUAGCCAUCUUUUCUUUGCUACAGCAACAUAGAUUGUGUUGAUUGUUCCUGAUGGUUGUUGAGGGAAUUGAAAAUCAUUUUCCUCUAAAAUCUUCUUAGGCUCUAUAAAUUCUUCAAAUUAUCCUCGGCUUUGUCACUAUGGAAGCGUGAGGGGUCCUUUAGUCGAGCAGUUGUCUUCUUGUACCACGUUAUUGCUAGAGCAACAAAACUGAGUUGUUGGGUACCUAAAAAAGAAAAAACUCAUGAAAGUGACUCUAAAGUAUGUGGAGAACUGUGGACUAGAAGAGAAAAAAUUUGGAUAAGAAUGAAAAGAAGCAUUGUGAAACCCUAAUUUAUAGGUCACGGUAAAAUAGAAAAAAAUAAUUAAUGAGGUAAAUUUAGAAAUUGUAUUUGAAAUUUAAAAUAAAUCCACAUUUACGUUCGGGAAUUUAGGGAUUAUGUAAUCCAUUCUUAUUUUUUAUCUUGAUUUCUUGAGCCAUCUAUCAAAAAUUUACUCCCAACGGUGCAAAAAUACUUUCCAUAGUUAUGUCACUAUAACGGUAAGAAUCAUUGCUACAACAAGUAAUAUAGUGCUGCAGCAACUGCGAUAAAGUCCCUAGUUUGAUGAGAACCAUUGUUCAACUGUCAUAUAAAGUGUAAUGCUGCAACAUCUUGUGUCAGUGUUUUAUCCAAAAAAAAUUCAUUAUUAUUUAUACAUGCCGUAAUAAAAUAAUAGACACAAAUAAAUUAGAUAAAAACUUCAAAAUAUCAACAACCGUAAAGAAAAACAUGAAAACUAAAUUUAAUGUUAAAGGAAAAAUUGAAAUAACUCCCUUAAUCAUUGGGUUGCCUCCCAAUUAGCACUUUAUUUAAGGUCUUUCAGUCUGACCCCCCUUAAUUGCUCAAACUGGAUUUAUGAGGCACAAAUCCUCCCUUGAAUGGUGAAAAUCAUCAUUAAUAUAGUGUUUCACCCGCUGCCCAUUUACUAUAAAUUCAAUGCUAGUUCUCUCAUCUUUGAGGUCCACAGCCCCAUGAGGAUGGAUUUUGAUAAGUCCAAAAGGCCCUGACCAUCUAGACUUUAACUUUCCUAAAAAAAAGCUUUGAUCUAGAGUUGUAGAGCAAAACUCAUUGACCUAGAAUUAAAUCCCUUUGCUGGAUGCGUUUAUCAUGCCAUUGUUUUGUUUUGUCUUUGCAAAUCCUUGCGUUAUCAUAAAAGAACUAUCUUAAUCUUUAAACUCACAAAGUUAAAACUUCCUAUGCUCUGCUGCAACAUGCAUGUCCAUGUUCAGUUGUUUUAGCGCCCAAAAUGCUUUAUGCUCUAGCUCCAGUGGCAAAUAGAAAGCUUUGCCAUAUAUAAUUUUAUAUGGUGACAUGCCAAGUAGUAUUUUGUAAGCUGUGCGAUAUGCCUGUAAGGAAUCAUGUAAUCUAAAAGACCAAUAUUUUCUAGUAGGGUUCACCACUUUUUCUAAAAUCCUUUUUAUUUCCUUGUUGGACACUUCUGGCUGACCAUUAGAUUGAGGGUGAUAUAUUGUAGCAACCUUGUGCUUAAUUCUAUAUUUGGCCAAUGCUGCAGCAAAUAUUCUGUUGCAAAAAUGAGUGCUUUCAUCACUGAUGAUGGCUCUAAGAGUCCCAAAUCUUGUGAAAAUGUUCUUUUAAAUGAAUCUCACCAUGGCUUUGGCAUCAUUUGUUGGUAGUGUUACAACUUCCGCCCAUUUGAACACAUAGUUUAUAGCAACUAAAAUGUAUAAAUCCCCAAAAGAGGGUGGGAAUGGACCCAUGAAAUCCAUCCCCCCAACAUCAAAUAGCUCAACUUCUAAAAUGUUGGUUAAUGGCACUUCAUGUUUUUUAGAGAUGUUCCUUGUUAUUUGGCACCUGUCACAACAUUUAACAAACUUAUAAGCAUCUUUAAAAAUAGAGGGCCAGUAAUAACCUGAUUGUAUAAUUUUUUUACUGCUGGUCUGUGGCCUCCAAAAUGGCCUCCAUAUGCUACAGCAUGACAUGAUUGCAGUAUGUUUGAAAUUUCUUCAUCAGAUACAUAUCUUCUAAUCAUAUAGCCUGAGCAUAUCUUGUACAAAUAAGGUUCAUCCAACUGAUAACUUCUAACAUCAUUAAGAAAUCUCUUCUUCUAUUGGUAACUUAGAUUAAGUGGUAACAAUCAGCUCACCAAGUAAUUAGCAAAAUCUACAUACCAUGGAAGCCCAGAUUAUUGUAGCAUAUGUGUAUGCUUUAGCAUUAACAAUUGCUCAUUAAGAAAUGUCUCUGUGAUCUCUUGCUUGAUUAGAGUGCUUUCAUCUGCUUCCAGCCUUGAAAGAUGAAAUUCUCCUUGGUUCUCAGUCCCUAUUCUUUGUUUAAUCUCGAAGUCAAAUUCUUGUAGCAAAAGGAUCCACCUUAUCAACCUUGGUUUGGCAUCUUUUUUUUAAAAUCAAAUACUUUAUGGCUAAGUAAUCUGUGUAAACAGUCACUUUGGUGCCAACCAAAUAAGCUCUAAAUUUGUCAAAUACAAAGACAAUUGCUAGUAACUCAUUUUUCAAUGGUAGUGUAAUUAAUCUGAGCAUCAGCUAAAGUUUUGUUAGCAUUAUAAAUAGAGUGAAAAAUUUUGUUCUUUCUUUGCCCUAACACUGCUCCAACAGAGUGGUCGCUGGCAUCAGAUAUCAACUUAAAAGGUAAGUUCCAAUCUGGUGUUAUAACAAUUGGUGCUGUAGCAAAAGCUUUCUUCAAUUCUAUAAAAGUCUUUAAACAAAGCUUACCAAAAUAGAAAGGCCUAUCAUGCUCCAGCAGCUAGCAUAAGAGUUUUGAUAAUUUAGAAAAUCCUUAAUGAAUGUUAUAUAGAAUUAUGCAUGUCCCAAGAAAUUCCUAAUGCCUUUAACUGAAGUAGGUGGUGGGAGUUUACUAUUUUGACCUUCUCCACUUAUAUUCCUUUUCUAGAGACUUUAUGGCUUAGGAUUAUCCCUUCUUGUACCAUAAAAUGACACGUUUCCUAAUUCAACACUGAAUUUAUCUCCUCACAUAUUUUAAGCAUAUUUUCUAGAUUAUGUAAACAAUCAUCAUAGAUCUCCCCAAAAAUCGAAAAGUCAUCCGUGAAUACCUCAAGCGUUUGCUCUACCAUAUUUCAAAAAAUAGACAUCAUACACCUCUGGAAUGUUGCUAAAGCAUUGCACAAACUAAAGGACAUCCUUCUUAAAUCCUUCUGAAAUAAGCAAAAGUUUCAUAAAGACAAGUGAAUAUUGUCUUCUCCUUAUCCUCUAGUGCUAUAGCAAUAUGGUUGUAGCCAGAAUACUCAUCCAAGAAACAGCAGUACUUUUUUCCAACAAGUAUGUCUAGCAUCUAAUCUAUGAAAGGCAACGGGAAGUGAUCAUUCCUUGUGGCGUUGUUUAGCUUCCUAUAGUUCAUGCAAACUCUUCAUACAGUUACUGUUUUGUGGGAAUAAGCUCAUUCUUCUCAUUUGUUGCAAUAGUCACUCCACCUUUCUUUGGAUCACAUUGUACUGGACUCACUCAGGAGCUGUCGGAUAUUGGGUAGAUGAUUCCAGCAUCAAGUCAUUUGAUAAUCUCUUUCUUGGUCAAUUUGGGUGAGUACUUGCUAGCAAUCCUCUAGCAAUUAAUUUGAAUUCUUAUAGCUAUUUGACAACUAUUAAUUUAUGUUUUUAUAUUUUCAUAUUAAAUAUAUUUAUUUAUUUAUUUUGAUAAAUUUUUAAAAAAUCAUUACUUAAAUUUAAUUAAUGAAAUAUUUUAAAAAAAUAUUAAAUUGAUAAAAUAAAAUUAUAAAUAAUAACUAUUUGAUGACAUUAAACAAGUUAAAAAGUUAAAGGGGUAAUUUUAAAAGCUUUGAUUUCCAAAAGAAGAAGAAUUUGAAUUCUUCAAUUCUUUGUAUAAAAUUCAAAUUCUAUAUUAGGAUGAAUAGUAAAUUCUAAUAAAAUUUAAAUUCUUAUAUAUUUUGUCCAACCAAACAAUUAAAAAAAAAAAUUCAAAUUACUUUCCUAUUCUCUAUCCUCACCUCCCAACCAAACACCAUCUAAACUCCUUAAUAUGCCACCCACAUAUUCAAACACCUUUGAGAAUCAAAGUAUCCCAGAUCUCCAGUAAGGAACCACCCAAAUUGAAAAGUAGUCUUAUUAGCCUCAGGAUUACCUUUAAUCAAAGUAUCCCAGAUCUUGCUAGCAAUCCUCUAGCAAGAUCUUGUACAUACAUAUGGAGGGGCUGAUUCAUUUGAUAUCUUUCAUGGUCUAUCUAAUGGCCUUCUUGUAUCUCCCCAACAUUUCCACUCAGCUCUUUACUUGAUCUGCAUUCAAAGAAGAUGAAAUGAUUACAUGUAGUGUGUUAUUAUCACCAAGAUAAACAUAUUUUAGAUGUGAAGGUAGAAGUUUUAAGUAUAAAACAUGAGGUAAUUCAAUAGAUGGUACAGCAGGUUUCACUUCCCCAUUUGAAAGAUCUAGAGACUCAAAAUGUCUGUUUGUCCUCACAGGUCGCUUCUCUCUUAACUAUGCUAUAUGCGUUGCUGCAGCAUCUUCAUCUUCAAGUUCUUCAAAUGUGGCGGCCUUGAUUUCUUCAUUGUUGCAGCAAUUAUUUAAGAUGUCUGUGACAGUAAGCUUCACAGCACCGACCAAAUCACAAUCUUCAACUUCAUCAAGACUCAUCAUUGCUUCCAAUACAUUAAAGGUAACUUACUGAUCAUUAACCCUCAUACUCAACUCUCAUUUUUUAACAUCAAUUAAAGUUUUUCCUGUGGCUAAAAAGGGUUUGCCUAGAAUAAUUUGUACUUCUUUAUCUGCUUCAAAGUCCAACACUAUGAAAUCCACUGGAAAAAUGAAUUUAUCCACUUUAAUCAAUACAUCUUCAAUUUUGCCUUCAGGAUAAGCAUGAGAUUUAUCAGCAAGUUGCAAUGUCACUGUGAUUGGUCUGACUUCUCCAACUCCCAAUUAUGUGAAUACUGAUAAUGGCAUAAGAUUAAUGCUUGCUCUCAAAUCACAAAGUGUCUUACUAUUGUAUUUAGUUCUUGUGGAACAAAGAAUUUUAAAACUUCCUGGAUCCUUUAACUUCUAAGGAAUUUUACUUUAAAGUAUAUGGUUCCAUUAUUGUCUUAAAGCAACUAUUUUGAAUUCUCCAAGCCUUUUUUUUCUUGCCAAUAUAUCUUUAAAAAACUUCACAUAAUUUGGCAUUUGUUCCAAUACGUCCACAAAAGAAAUUUUGAAAUGCAGUUGUUUUAAUACUUCCAAUAAUUUACUAAACUGCUUGUCAUGUUUUUACUUCUGAAAUCAUUACGGGAAGAUUUCCCCUUGGGUAUAAUUAGGUUAUGUUCUUCUUUUUGGUACUUUAACUAAAAUAUGAACAUCCUUUUCAGACCUUAAGUUAAUCACCUUGCAAUGCUCUUUUCUUUCUCUUCUUGGAUCCUCUGUAUUGCUUAGUAAAUUGCCCUAAGGUAUGUUGCUCAAUGCUGUAGCAAGCUGUCCAAUCUGAUUCUCCAAGUUUCUUAAAGAUAUGGCUUGACUUUGGACUACUACUUCAUUCUUCACAAUAUACUCCAUAAUUAGAGUUUCAAAGGAACUAAAUUGAUCAUUACUGGUGUUUAUUUUCCCUUAAAAUUGCUGAUGAAAUCCAAGUGGCUAAGCAGGUCUGUUAUGUCCAUUAGAUGUUGCAACAUGCUGAUUCUGAUUGCUCCAUGAAAAGUUUGGGUGCUGUCUCCAUUCAGGAUUAUAGAUGUUUGAAAAUGGAUUGGUUUGAUUUUGUCUAUUGAAAUUGCCCGCAUAAUUGACUAAGCUGGAUUUCCAGGACAACUAUCAUAUAGAUGUCCCUCUCCACAAUAAACACAAGAGACUUCAGCAACUUGGUUAGUUGUUGCUGGAGCAGUGGUCGUUGAUUUUACCAUAUUUGUUAAUGAGGUUACUUGGGCUGAUAAUGAUGUCAGUGCAUCCACAUUGUGUACUCCAGUUACUCCUCUUAUUGCGGCUUGUCUAAUUAAUGGCCAUUAAUAGUUAUUGUUGGCUAUCUUUUUCAAAAUUUCAUAAGCCUCAUUGUAUUACUUAGACAACAAGGCCCCUAGUGUUUGAGUUCAACCCAUUGUAGAUAGUUUCCAAUUGUACACAACAAGGAAUACCAUGAUGAAGGCAUCUCCUGGGUAACUCCUUGAAUCUUUCCCAUGCAUCAUACAAGCUUUCAUCUUCAAGUUGAUGGAAAGAUGUGAUCUCAUUCCUCAACUUUACAUUCUUUGUCGGUGGGAAAUAUUUCAUCAAAAAUUUGUCAGCCAAAUCAUUCCAUGUGGUGAUGGAGUCUAGUGGCAAAGAAUUCAACCAUGCCCUUGCUUGAUCUCUUAAAGAAUACGGGAAAAUUUUGAGUCUCAAUGCAUCUUGUGAUGCUCCAGCAAUUUUAAAAGCAUCACUUACCUCCAAGAAUAGUUUAAGGUGAAGAUGAAGAUCUUCUUAUGGCAAUUCAUUGAAUUGCCCCACUGUUUGUAAUAUCUAAAACAUCACUGGUUUGAGCUCGAAAUUGACAACUUGCAUUUCAGGUCUAACUAUUCCAGGAUGUAUAACUUGAGGGGUCAACACGGCAUAGUCUCUAAUGGCUCUGUCUCUAUCAUCUGUCAUGUAGAUAAUAUUGUUGUUCCCUGGUUGUCCCCAAAUAUUCUGCUCAUUAUGGCUUUCUUGGUCAUUAACUGGUUAUAUUUCUCUGUGAGGGUUCAAGUUCCUCAUAUCUUGCAAAUCGUCCAUUACUACAGCAGCUUUUGAAUGCUUAUUCUCUUUCCUCAAUCUCCUUACAAUUCUUUCAAUCUCUGGAUCAAAUUGGAAUUCAACAUGUUUGUAUUUGCGCAUGCAAGGGUUGGUAGAGCUCUUCUACAAACACAUUAAAAAAAAAGAAAAUUAAAAUCUUGCAUCAACUAAAAUUGAUUUCACAAAACACAAUAAGCACCAAUCCCCGGCAACGACGCUAAAAACUUAUUGUAGGUUUUCUAAUGCUAUUAGUGUCAAUGUGCAAGUGCACAUAACAAGUAAUAUAAUGAUAAAUAUUCUAGAUUGUCUCCACAAGGAUUAUUGUUAUAGGAAUUGCUACAACAAUUUUAUCAGUGCAAUUUUUAUUCUAAAUUAGAAUUAAAAUAAAUUAUUAAAUUAAUGAACUAAUUAAGAUAAAAAUGCAAUAAGAAAAAUACAAUAACAUAAAUUAUCACAGCAAAUAUAAGGAUGUAACCAAGGGGAAUGGAGUAGUUGAGUAAUUAAACUCACUUAAUGGUUUUGAUUAUUUUUCUAAUGUUUGGUUCGAUUACUACAACAUCUUCUACAGCACUGGGAAGAAUCCUUAUGUAUCCUCAAUUGUCGCAUGUUGGAUGUCUUAUACCUAAAAACAACUUAACAAUGACCAAUUGUUAUGCUAACAUUAGAUAUAGCAUUACACGUUUUAGAUUCGAAUUACCCUACAAGGUGAAUCCUUAUAUCUAGUUCAUCACUAAUUUUAGAUUACGCAUGACCUUUUUUUAAUCAGGUUAAACCCAAUUCAGGAAACCCAAUCUAAACCCAACUUAGGAAACCUAAUCUAAACCAAGUAUUGUUAUGAUAUGUUCCACUAAGACAGGUCUUUAUAGGCUCUAUCUUAGCUAAUAUCACUAAAUGGGUGGUCAGCCAAAAUAGUGAAUUGAAAUAAGUAUUAUUAAAACAACGUACUAUAGCAAACAUGCCCCAAUAUAGUAUAUCAGUCAAUUAACUAUCAAGUUUGCUCAUCGCUCAACCACGAGUAAAUUUAGUUCAUAAUUUGCAAUAAAACAAUAAUCAAAAUAGUUUUAGCCAUCAAAUAAUCCAUCAUAACAAGAUAAAAGUAAGAGAACAAAAAAUAAGAGUUGAGAUCUGUUUGAUGUUCUUCUAGAAUUCUUUGUUGCCGUCUUCGAUUCUCUCUCUUGAUAUUUGUUUUAUCUUGUUUUGUUUCUCUAUUGUUUCUCUCAAAUGACGGUCUCUCCUUUUUCUUUGCGUUUGUACUUCUUUUAUAUCUUAGCAUCAGGGCAACCGGAAGCCUAGGGUGCGCAUAUUCUAGUUUAGGAAACUCAAGAUCGCAAUCUUCCAAGUAUUAUAAGCGAAAUCUUUUCUGCCAUUGUUCCAGGAUUGCUACAGGAACAAUGCUACAGCAAUGGCUUCAGCACCUGCACUGUUCCAGAAUUGUUUCAAUUCUUAUAUAACCAUAUUCUUUCUUUAUCUUUGCAAGCCUAUUGCAGCAGCAUUCCUCCCUUGAAAUUUGAGCUUCCGGUCACCUAUAAUUAUAUUAUGAUCUAAGCACAAAAAUUAUUCUGAAACAAUGCAAUUUAUUAAAAUAAACUAUGGAUAUUCAUACAAAAUAUAACUAAAAUGCAAUAAAAAUAUGCCAUUUACUCUCUAAGUAAUCUUGAUUUAAGUCUAAAAAUGUCAUGAAAACUUUCAUUUCACAGAGUUAUCAGCAGCAAAAGGGUUAAUCCAACUAUUGAUUUAGAUCAAGUCUAUAAUGACAAUAACCCCUAACUAUUUGAGCUUAAAGCUCUUGCCAGCAAAUGGGCAAUUGGGAUGAAAGUCCUCUAUAAACAACUUGAAUAGAUAAGUAAAGAAAAAAAAAUGUGGCUUCACUAAGUCAAAACAAAACAUAUAAUCUAUUCAUUCAGUAAAAAAGAAAACAUUUUAGCCAAGCAAGCCAUCUUGAAAAAGAAAAAGGCAAUAUAUGAGAAUCUCGUGGAAUCCAACCUGCCAACACACAGUGGGAUAUGCAAGGUGCUUAAUCAUCAAUCAGAUUCUGGCUUUUGCUAUAAAAAAAAAAUCAAAAGAAUAAUCUAGUAAGGAAGACAUGCCGCUAGAUGAAGAGCUCAUAAUUAACACGUGACAGGAGGCCACUAAAAAGAUAAAGAUGCCAACUAGAAGCAUUAAUAUUUCAGAAAGAAUCCAAAGUAAAGGAUAAGACUUAUCGAAAUCCUUACCUCAACCAUGUGAAGACUAUCAACCAUUAGAAAAAGAAGACAAAAGUUGCCCUUAAUAAUGCAAGAAGAAGGGGUUACCUUAUCUCUGGGAAAUCUAUCAGGCAACAAGUGUCAUGUAAAAAGAUAUAAUCUUAUCUCUAAAAUCUAUAUGUGUAAGAAAGGAUUAUCUUAUCUAUCUAAAUCUAUAAAUAAAGUCACGUAAGAUAGAAGAGGUAUCACUCACGAGCAUUCUCUUAUUCUCAUCUGUAUUCUCUCUUUAAAUUCAAAAAUUAAAUAAAAAAAUUGUUUUUGAGUGAAAUUAUUAUCUUUAUAUAACUUAUUUAGAUUUUAGAAAAAAAAAAUCAAGAAUAUACAUGCCAACACUUGUGCUAAAUAAAGAAGAUUUCAUAUUACUAAGCACUCUUCUAUAUCAAUUACAACAGAUUCACUUAGGCAUAUCUUACUGGCUUAGUCUGCAAUGUGUUGCUUUAGGCCGUGUGGAAUAGUUGUGGGAUUGAUCUUGCAUGAUGUGUGGAGCUAUAACAGUGCUGAGCAUGGGCCAAUUUAUAGGCUCAUGGAACUAGCAAAAUUAUUCUAGAAUUUUGAGGAUUGUACUCUAGUUAGUACUCUAAAUUAUCUUAUUAUAUUUUGCACAAAUAAAUGAUAUAGAGUGAUAAUAGCAACUCAAUUUUCAUAAAACAUGGAAAGAUGAGUCGCCAAAUUUCUAGAUGCCAUAGAUAAUCUAGACUUUAGUAAGGAAUAUCAAGUUAUUUAUACAAUGAAAAUUGUUAAAUCUCGAUUAAUUGCAAGGAAGCACUUGUAGAGAGAUAUAGAGAGAAUAAACUAUUAGCCUAAAAGGGCUACACAUAUUGUAAUUUUGAUGAUAACAAACAUGUGUCUUAAGUGAUUUGAUAAAUAUUGUAUAUCACAUUUUCAUUAGUUCUUGAAAGAUAAUAUUUAUGAUGAAGUGAAUCACGAAAAAUCAAGCUCAAGACACUCAACGGACAACGGCGUGAUCAAGAAUAAAGUUUAGAGUUCAACGGAAUCAUUAUUGCGACAAUUCUUGUAAAGCCGGUAUGAUUUAAAAUAUGAAUGAUUUAGCAUUUAAAAAGCUCAAGAUUUUGUUUAAUAAAUCAUUAUUUUUUCAUAAAUCAAAAGUUUUACAAGUAUAAGCUAAGUAUUUUAUGAAAUUAGUUAUUUUUCAAGAUGUGGACUAAAAUGAAAAUUUUUUACAAUCUUUGAUUUUAAAAAGUAUUGUUUUGAAUUCCAGAGUUUGACUUAUUUGCAAACAUUUAAAACUUUUUAGGUCAUACUAUAAUUUAUGAACGUUUGAGGACCCGAAGUGAAAAUAUCCAAAAAUUUGAUAAAGAGUUAGCGGCUAAUCGCCUGAGGGCUAGCGGCUAGCUGCCUAAGGAAAAUCUCAUAUUUUCAAAUUUUGGACUAAAUUAAAAGAUUUUGAGAACUUUGAAAUUUAUAAGUAUUAUGUUAAAUUUUGAAAAAAAUUAUUAAACUUUGGACCAUAUCAUAAUUUCAAAAAGUUUUUAGAAUAACAAGUAUUAUUUUAAAAUUCAAAAGUUGGACCUGUUUGUAAAGUGUUAUAACGUUUUGGGCCAUAGUAUAAUUACAUAAAGUUUUGGGCACAAAUGUAACUUUAUUGUUCUGAAGCAACGAGCCGGAUAAAUUAAGUGGCUAGUCACUUGUUUGCUGGAAUUUACCCAUAACGGCUAAUUUUCAAGCUUUAUCUAUAAAAACUCAACUCCAACUUCAAUUUGGAGACUUUUGCAAGCAUAAACAAGUGCAUAAAAUAUAUAUUGAGCUUUUAUUUCGCAAAUCAUCUUAUAUUGAAUCAUCAUUGUGCUAUUAUUUGUAGAUCUACUCUAAAAGAGAGUUUUUUUUGUUGUAUUAUUCAUUUUUCUCAUCAAAUUUGUAAGUGUAUAAGUGUGAGAAACACUUAUGUGAAGAGAUUGAGAGAUAAUCUCUUGGUUGUAAAGGUUUAUUGACAUCUUGAAAGUCAAAUGUAAUGAACUUGAAGCCUUGGGAAACUUGAAUAGUGAAAUCCUUAAGGUUGGUUGGCUUGGAGGCAUGGACGUAGGCGGGGAUUGCGGAACCACGUAAAAAUUAUUGUGUUUGCUCUAUUUUCCCUUACUCUUCUAUUAUUGUACUUUAUUGAAUUUUUUAUUUUUUAUUUGAUUAAGACAAUAGAUUGAAUUGUUGUGCGAAUUGUUUAGCGUAAGUUUUAAAAUCUCAAUUCACCUCCCCCCCCCCUCUUGGAUUGCAUAACUUGCAUUUCAUAAACUUUAAAGAUAAUAAUUAAAUAUACGACAGCUUUAAGGAAGAAAAUAGAAUAGUAUUAAUAGAAUCUAUUUUAACCGGUCUUGAAAUAAUUCAAGACAGAUGCAAAAUAAAUAACAGGACUCUAAACCGUCCAUAAUAAGUCUAUUGAUGAAUAAAAACAAUAAUAGUGAUGUGAAUAUAUUCGGAUUUUAUAGAUUUUUAUGAAUUUGAUAACCAUUUAGAUCUUUAUAAAAUUAUAAUAAAACUUUAAAAAGCUUUAAAAAUAUAUGUAGAAAAGAUGGAAGAAGAAAUCAUCCAUUUAUUCAAAAUCAAUUAAACAAAAAUAAAAGGUAAAAUACUUGAGUUAUAUCAAUUAUACAAUUUCACAAAAAUUUUACAUAGAUUGCAAAAAGGUCCUUGUGGCACUACAGCAGGUUUCAUAAAUUUUUUACAUACAAAUUUUAUGUUUUAAAAUAUGAAUUUUUUUUUGUAUUUAAUACUUUGUUCAACUAUAUGUACAGGUCCUCAACGUGUUGGUUGAUGUUGAAUAUUCAAAGAUCCACAAGCUAUCAAUGACAACGACUCAAAUUAAACUAAUUCGUUAAUACAUAAUAACUGGGUUGUUUCCUAUGCUUGUUAAUGAUGUAGGACGUUGUUUUAGAAUUUUAGAAUUUUAAUUUUUUAGGUCUUCUGAUAUUUUCUUUUUUAAUUAAAGUUAGUGUCUUAGUCUUUUAUUUCUAUUGUAAUUAUGAUUUACUUUCCCUUUUUAAGUUAACUUAUAAAAGUAGAUUUACUCUAUUAUAAAUAAAGAGAUCUUGUUAUCGCUUUUAUAACUUCAACUUCAGUUAUUAAAUUAAAAACCCCUCUUUUAUAAUUUCCUUUGGUAUUAUCUAUUAAAAAUUCCUCUUUUAGAGUUGUUUGAUUAGAGUAUCAUUUAGCCUAUCUUAACACAGUAUUAAAAAUCCCAUUGAGUUUAAUCAUACUUCGAUUUGAGCGUAAUUAAUAGCAUUGAUUUGGUCCAGUACUUGAACGAUAUCUAGUGUUUUGCUUCUGCUACGCCCAAGGAGAAAAUGAAUUUCACCGUGAGAUAAGAGCAUUAAAAGGAAUUCAUAAGAAAUUUAAAUUAAAUUAGCUACGAAGUGAAAAUAAAUAAAUAAAUAAAUGAAUAUGAAGUUGAAAAUAAGUCUCGCCGCCUGGAUCCAAGGCCAAAACAUUCAUGAUAAGUUAGGUAAUUAAGUACAUGUUUUCAAGCUCUUCAUGAAGAAUAAUGUUAUUGAAAUAAAUCACAAAGACUCCCUGCGCAAAUUAUUACAUUGAUUAAAAAAAAAAUGCCAUAUCUUUAACAGGAUCGUGGCUCUCGGACUGUUAAUUACUUUAUUCCCUGCUUGGCCAACAGCUGGCCACUAAACAAAAUCAUAAAAAUUUUAAAUUUAGUCAAAUUGGUCCCACUUGAUGUCAUCCUUUUCAUACAUAAAAUUGUUUAACGUCAAGGUUAAAUAUGAGAAGUUUGGUAGAGACGGUAAAAAGGAAGUCUAUAUAAGGAGGGGAACGAGCUUUGUUUAUAGCACAAGUGAAACUCCACUUUAUUGAACGAUAGGGUCUCAAAUGGGCUGCCUCUUUGCCACUCUUUUGGUAGUAUCAGUCUCUCUUAGCUACUUGCCGUUAGAAGCCUCCGCAAACAAAUACUACUACACAUCUCCUCCCCCUCCCAAGUACAAGUCUCCACCCCCCCCGCCACCGGUUCACAAUUCUCCACCACCACCCCCGGUUUACAUGCCCCCGCCACCUCCUCCACCAGUCUACGUGCCUGCUCCGGCACCAACUCCAAUUUCCUAUUCCCCGCCACCUCCUGUCCCCAAGUCCCCACCACCACCUCACCCUUACGUCUAUGCAUCUCCCCCUCCUCCUUACUACUACUAGAAAGCGGCCAUGAAUAGCUCAUGCUUUUAUGGUAAUCUCAUUUAUUUUUAAAACU